RNAcentral lists this long non-coding RNA (48572 nucleotides) under Amborella trichopoda. RNAcentral describes it as "long non-coding RNA (ATRI_LNC001381)". The record is from RNAcentral. Lineage: Eukaryota; Viridiplantae; Streptophyta; Magnoliopsida; Amborellales; Amborellaceae.
AUAAAGAGAGAGAGAGAGAGAGAGAGAGAGAGAGAGAGAGAGAGAGAGAGUGGUGCUCACACUAGUGGUAAGUUAAUUUAUCUAUGCACUCAACUAAUUUAGUAAUACUUAUANNNNNNNNNNNNNNNNNNNNCAGAGAGAGAGAGAGAGAGAGAGAGAGAAGAAAGUAGAGAUAGAAACGAGAAAUGAAAGGCCAAUAUGUCUUUCAACUAGUCCUUCAGAGAGAAAGCAAAGAGAAACUUUUUUAAAGAAAAGGGAAACAAAGGGCUAGUAUGCCUUUCAACUAGUCCUUCAUAUUGCAAAUGAAUAAAGAGAAAAUAAAGAGAGAAGGCUGGUUUGUUUUUCACUCAGGUCCUUUAAAGAAGAAAAUAGUAAAAGAAGCAAGAAAGUUAAGAGAGACGAAAAAAGGAGAAAAGAGAAAAAGAAGAAAGAGAAGAAAUACACAGAUGACAGCUUAACUGCUAUAUGUGAAGAGAGAGAGGAGACAAAGAGAGAGCACAAACAGUGGCUUAGCUACCAUUUGUGAAGAGAGAGAAGAGAGAAAGAUAACACAAACUAUGGCUUAGCUGUUGUUUAUGAAGAGGGAGAAGUGAGAAAGAGUGAGCAUAGACAACAACUUAGCUGCCGUAAUCUUUCCAUACAAGACUGUUUUGGUGGUCCAAGGGACCACCGUGUGUAGUUUGGUUAUAACUCUCUUGUUCUUUAUCCGAUUCAAUUCAAACCUUUUACAAUCUAUUUUAGAUGAUAAUUCCAAUGUGUUGAGAUCUUAAGAAGUGAUUUUAAGGUGUGUAAUUUUGUCCUAUUGCUAUUAGACACUCUUGUGAGAUUUAACCACUUUUGUACAAUCUGAAAGGAUAAAAUUAAGUCCUUAUAGGGCCCGAUUGUGUGGCUCCAGAACAAGGGGUUCGAAACAUGGCUUUCCUAUUUUAAUUUGGAAAUCUAAUUCCUUGUUAGUUGAUUUUAUUCCUUAGACUUUUUUUUAUAUUAGUCGCAUGAUAUAUUUAAGCUUUGGGACAUAGUUUAUGUAAUUUGUACUACAAAAGUGUAAUUCAUAAGCUAGUCUGCUUUAUAUAUAAUUGCCCCAUAAGGGGUUAGUAUUUGAUUUUAUUUACAAUGGUUAUACAAGGCUAGAAAUUGUUGUAAUUGUCAUUUAAAAUAUGGUAACUUAUUCAGUUAGCUUGGUUUUUAGCAAGUGGCUUGUUGAAGGUGUCCAUUUUGCCUUGAAAAUUUGCUCUAGUCUUUGUAUCCACAAUCAAUUGGUAUCAAAGAAAAGCUCAUUUACAGCCUCUUUAAGGAUCUUUAGAGGGAUUAUAGAGUACCAAAUAGGAAUGGUAGCCCUUUCGAUACUCACUGAAUUGUUUAAGGAGGAGAGGUUCAGUGGAAACAACUUCUCUGAAUGGAGAUGGAAAAUUUGUUAUGUGUUUCAUGAAGAUGGACUAUUUCCAUUAUUGACUUCUAGACCUCCUAAUCCGCCCGCAAUCAAUGCUCCUCAAGUUAUUAAGGAUGCAUAUGAGACAUGGCAUAACAAAAACCAAAGUGCCAUGAAUAUUAUUUUUGCAACCAUGAGUGAUUCCUUUGUUAAGGAGUAUGAGAAUUUUGUAUGUGUCAAAGAUAUUAUGGAGAGCACGAAAAAGAAAUACGACAUACUGAAUGAAGCUCAAAGGAUCAUUAGAAUGAGGAAUCUCAUGUGUUGUAAAAUGGAUGCUCAUACCAAAGUGGGUGAUCAUCUAAGAGAGUUCAAGAGUUGUAUAAGUGAGAGUGAGACAGUCGGUCACUCAUAUGAUGAAGUGACACAAAAGACGAUGUUUGUGCUUUCGAUCUCACCCUCAUGGGAGGCCUUUGUGGCUAAUUUAAUGGCCAAAGAUGCGCCUACAACAGCAGAGGAGAUAACAUUUUUCAAGAACAAAGAAGGAUGGAAAUGGAUGGACUAUCUUCCAUGGUCCAUAUGGUAAAAUCUCACCAACCAUCAUCUUCUUCUACGUCCUUACUCAUUACUCCUAUAUCUUCUUCCCUUUCUAACUCUUCUAUGGUGAAUAUAUGUAAUGUGGGAGUGAUUGGGAGUGAUAAUGCUAAGAACAAGAAAAGAAAGGGAAAUGGCAAAAAGAAAGGGAAGGGGAAGAAAAAGGGAAAAUCUUACUCCCCUUAUCUAUUUAGUUCUUACCCUCCUAAAACCCAUGCCUUUUAGGCCUAAACUAUCACCCACACCCAUGAUAGUAGGUGGGAGGUCGAUUUGGCCCUCAAGCCAAGAUUAUUCGAAGGUGCAAUGCUUUAGAUGCAAGAAAUAUGGGCAUACCCAAAAGUUUUGUAAGUAUCCUCCUGCUCUACAAAACCCUCAUUUUACUCUUCAGCCUAAUACCGGUAAGCCUCAAGCUAAUACUGGUGGAGGAUCAAGGAAAUAGAGAGUUUGUGUGGUCCUUGAGACUUUGAUUGCUAAUGAGGAGGUAGAUGUGGGGGUUCUUGACUUGGGGGCCACUAUUCAUGUGACAAAUUCUAUGAAGGGCUUUAGAAGGUUUUAUGAUGUCAAAAUCAGUACCCAUAAUCUUUAUUUGGGUGGAAAUCAAAUGUAAAAGGUCUUAGGAAAAGGGGACUAUGUGUUGGAGCUCACUAAUGGUGAGACUCUCAUGCUUAAGGACACCCUCUAUGCAUCCAAGAUGAGGAAGAAUCUCAUCUUGAUUUUCAAUAUGAGUAAAACCGGGUUUGUGCUCUUGUUCAAGGAGGAAAAGGUCUAUGUGCUUGAUGGCUCUAGUAAUGGAGACCUUGUUUUUGUAGCCCACUUGGUUCAAGGGCUUUAUGAAAUUAAAAUGAAAAAUGAGUUUGCUUACUUGGGUGAUGAUUUACAAAAUUUUACUUUAUGGCAUUUAAGGUUAGGUCACAUUAAUCCAUCUAGAAUGCAUAUUAUGAUGAAAGAAGGAUUGCUUGAUAAAAUGAAUAUCGAUUCUCAUAAUAAAUGUGAGGCUUGCCUUAAAGGAGAGAUGGCAAAGAAGUCCCACCAAAAGGUCGAAAGGUUCUCUAGUCUUUUAGAACUAAUCCACUCGGUUAUGUGUGGACCUAUGAGUGUGCCUACUAUGGGACACAUGAGUUACUUCAUAACAUUCAUUGAUGACCAUUCCCAUUUUGGUCAGACCUAUCUCAUGAGAAACAAAAGUGUGGCCAGAACCAAAUUCUAAUAAUGUAAAGCGGAAGUUGAAAACCAACUAGGUCAAACCAUCAAAAUCCUUAGAUCAAAUAGGGGUGGGGAUACACCUCCCAAGCCUUCCAAGAUCUUUGUGUCCAAUAUGGGAUUUUCCACUAGACCCCUAUGCCUUACUCACCAAAAAAAAAUGGGGUUGCCGAGAGAAGGAAUAGGACCCUAGUUGCGAUGUUGUGAAGUAUAAUGAGUACCGCUAAUCUUGGAUUAGAGUUUUGGGGGGAGGCGAUUCUAAUUGCCACAUAUGUCCUUAAUCGGACUCCCACUAAAGCAAUUCAAUCAACUCCUUACCACCUCUUCAUGGGCCAACCUCCCUCAUUAAAGCACCUCAAGGUUUGGGGAUGUUCAGCUCAUGUUCUCAUACCAUCCCAAAAUACGUUCAAACUUGAUCCUAAAACCAUAAAAUGUGUUUUCAUAGGACACCCAAGUCAUGGGAAGGGAUUUAGGUUUUAUAACCUCUUAAAUCAUAAUGUGAUUGGAAGCCUUGAUGCCCAUUUCCUUGAAGAUGAAUUCCUUGAGAGAUAAUCAACCCAAAAGAGAGUAGACUUCCAUGAGCUUCAACCUAACAAAGAAAUUGAAACCAUCCCACUUAGGCAAAGUGAGAGAAUAAGGAGACCACCUACCUUUUUCACUUACCUUGGGGAGGACUAUGAGAGGAUUAGUGAAGAACCCGAUGAUGAACCUUAUUCUUACCUAUAUGUUAUUGGUUAGAAGCCUCGAUCUCGUCCUCCGGAUUUGGAUGAUCGGGCGGCAAAUGUCUAAAAAUGGGUGCAAAAAAAUUGUUUUGCCCCUGCCUAACAAUUUGUGGAAUUUCAGAACAGCCCUUGCUGCUGCCCGAGAUCUUGUGUGAACUUCCAUGACUGACCUGGGGGUGUUUUGGUGCUCGUUUGAUCGAAAGAUUAUUAUUUUCUUGUAGGGCUCAACAUGGCGAUCGUUUUGAUACCAACUUUGAGCCAUGAAUCAUGUUUUUGAGACAUGAUCACGAGAUUUAAAUCUUGGAUGAAUCCUGAAAACUUCGGAUCGAUUGUGCCCUCGUUCCUUGAUAUUUCUUCAUGACUUCUUCAUUGAAUUACACUGAGCAUGUCGUCACGAUCACGUUGCAACAAACGUAACUGGAUUUCAUGUCCGGGUGAAGAUUUUGCCGUCUUAAGUUUUUGGCCAGAAUCUUAAUAUCUAGUGGCCAGAAUUUACAGCAGCUUUGGUGCCUUCAUGUGUGAAAUCCAACAAUUCAUCGUACGCGAGGUUUGGAUCAAAGAUGGCCUCGGACCUCUUGCACAUAAUGCAAUUGGUUCCGUGUCGAUCGGGUAUGUGAGCAUCGUGAUCUGGCUGCUCGAACAAGGCGUACAGCUGCUGAAUUUUUUGCAACUUCCUUCACGGAUCUGCGACUUUCAUUUAGUUUUUCUCUUUGCUUGGGCAUCGUCACGGGGCAUACCACAUAUCGAAUUGCUCGUCUUAAUGAGACGAACACGCUCACCAAAUUUGAGAGCGAUCUGACUUGUAACAAAUGAGUUAUAGGCUCGAAAAGUGACUACUCAUGAAUGCAAAAACAGCCACCUUUAAUGGUGUUGUGAUGGAGUGAGGCCACACGGGAAUAGUGUGCAACUAACCCCUUUUUGGUAUUUUACCCAUAAUUUUAUCUUGGAGUGCCCGAUUAAGCUAAAACUUGACCCAUAGGGUUUUUUUACCAUGACGGAUCUAAUGGCAGUGGUCCCACAACUGUUUGAUGUACCAAAAGUAUGGCUCUAGUUACAAGGUCCAUUUUAGGGUGCUAGAGACCGAUUUCACUGAAAUUGUUUCUUUGUGUUCACUGCCUUAGACAUGUAUGAUCAUAAUGAAACUUGGCAGGUGGUAUUUUGAAGUCUUAAGAAAGAUCUUGAUCAGAUUCUGAGCCAUUUUAACAUUGUCGGGAAUUUCCACUGUUUUAUAGGCUUUAUUGACCUGCUUCCUACCAGGGACCAAGAUGCUGAAAAAUACGUUCAAACAGCUAUGUCUUGUUCGUAUCAUAAGUUAUGAAAUGAAGCCAUGCAAGAUGCGAUAAAUUCAAUCAUAAAGAACCAUAUAUGGGAGUUAGUCCAAUUACCACCUAACCUUAGAUCCAUUGAAUGUAAGUGGAUAUUCAAAAAGAAACUGAACUCUGAAGGGCAUUUUGAAAAAUACAAGGCAAGACUUGUAGAAAAAAAUUUUACUAAAAAGGACGGGGUAGAUUAUUUUGGCCCCUAUUCACCUAUUGUUAAAAUGCCUUCAAUUAGGAUGAUCAUAUCUUUAGCAGCCUAACUUGACCUAAAAUUGCUUCAAAUGGAUGUGAAAAAUGCCUUCUUAAAAUGAGACCUAGAAGAGGAUAUAUACAUGAACCAACCUGAGGGUUUUGUUGUGAAAGGAAAGAAAACGUUUGUGUAAAAACUUAACAAAUCAUUUUUUGGUCUCAAAUAAGCUUCAAGAAUAUGGUUCUUCAAAUUCCACUAAACCCUUAUUCGAUAUGGAUUCAAACUAAAUUAGGAUGACCAUUGUGUAUACCAUAAGACCAGUGGGACUGGCAUUACUUUCAUGACUUUAUAUGUGGAUGACAUUCUAAUAACUAGUAGCACCCUAGAUCAUAUAAGGGACACAAAGGCAAUGCUAUCAAUUAAUUUUGAUAUGAAAUAUAUGGGAGAGGCUUCGUAUGUGUUAGAGAUUCAUAUUAUAAGAGAUAGAGCAGCCCACACUAUUCAAUUAUCUCAAUCUACAUAUUGCAAAAACGUUCUUGAGAGAUUUGGUACGAGUGAAUCCAAGCCUAUAGAUAUACUUGUGGAAAGGAGAGAAAAAUUAAAUGUCACUAUAAAACCAAACAAUGAUCUUGAGAGAUAUGAGAUGGAAAGGAUCUCGUAUCAGAGUUCCGUAGGAUCACUAAUGUAUUUAACCAUGGGAACUAGAUCCGAUCUAGCAUAAGCUCAAAGCUUGAUUGGUCGAUUCCAAAGUGAUCCUGAAUUAGAACAUUGGAAAGCCGUGAAAAGAAUCCUGAGGUAUUUGAAUGGAACAUUUGAUUAUGGAUUAACUUAUGGCAAAGUGAGUAAGCUUAAAGUUUUGGGAUACACAGACUCCGACUAUCAAGCAGACAGGGAUGACUCAAGAUCCACUUCGGGUUAUCUAUUUCUUUAUAGGGAUGGUGCCAUUUCUUGGCGCACCAAGAAGCAAGACACUGUAGCCCUAUCUACCAUGGAAGCCAAGUAUAUGGAUUUAAUUUCCACAACUUUAGAAGCCAUUUGGAUUAAGAUGUUCGUGCAUCAUCUUAACUUCAACCCUCAAAAACAUGGAACUAUUAGGACCAUGUGUGACAAUCACGCUGCAAUAGCAUUGGCAGUUGAACCAAGGUUCCACAACAAGUCAAAGCACAUUAAAUAUCAUAGAGUAAGAGAAGAGAUAGUAGUUGGUGAAGUAGAAGUUGGUUACAUUCCAUCUGAGGCUAUGCAUGCAAAUCCAUUAACCAAAGGCUUGGGGGCAAAUGAUUUUGUGAGGCAUGUGCAUGGAAUGGGUUUAAGGAGGUUGACAUAGUUAUUAUUACUUUGUCUAUUACUUGUGAAUGAUAAAUACAUGGAUGAGUAUGUAUGCUUUGAUUUAUUAUGAACGAUAAUGAGAGAGAGAGAGAGAGAGAUGUAUGAAUUCAGGCCUCAAAAGGCCAAGUGGGAGAAUUUUGGAAAUAUGGCCUAUCAAAGCCUAAAUUCCAGUAGUCUGUCAUUCAAUGGGAGCAAUUGAGAGAUUGAAACCUUGACGUCUUGCGAAAUGGAGCCCAGAUUAUUUUACCCCGAGUUCGCAUGAGGCAUAGAGAGUUCACGUGUUAAGAAAGUAAUUUCUCAAGGAGGUGUGAGGGUCUCCUCCUAAUCAGGACUUUACAGGUUAGCCUCAUGUUUAUUUGCAAUUGGCCAGGGCUUGGAGAAUCCAAAUGAGAAAAAUAGAACUCGAGUACUUAUUGAGUAAUUGCCCUGCAUGGAAUGGUCAAAACUUAUAGGACAUAAGUCCGUAUAACGUGGAAAUUUGCUUGGAAAUGGCUUGGAAAUUUGCUCUAGUCUUUAUAUCCACUAUCAGAAUGCCCUCAUCAGCAUCAGGAGCUCUUCUUUAGAUAGACAGCCAAGGAGCCCUUAGUGGACAUUGUUUGCUGCUACACCAGGUUUGCUUUAACAACCAGAGUACCUCUGUGGGCCCCAUCUUGACGGGUUCAUUUUCGGGCAUUUGGUGGGCCUAUCCCGAACUUCUGGUUUAGUCCGAGAGGGAUAUUGUCGAGGUGGCCUUGAAAGGUCUCUACUCUAGUUGUUGUGGGCAAGUAUUGACCUAAUUUGACAGUUUCUUGCUUUUAAAGAGCAUCUUUGGCUUGUCGGAAUGACUUUCCUGUUUUUUCUUGACUUCUUGAGAAUGGAGCUCUUUAGCAUGGAACCCCAACUUGCCGUCUUGGAAAUUUUUUCGACUCUUAAGUCCUUUCAUGAAUGGACUCAGAAUUUUGGACUUUUCUUGAAGCUCUUUCUUUUUGGGUUCCAAUAUUGGAGAUUUUUUCUUUUUGAAGUGCUGGCUGAAGCCGCCUAUGGAGGCGAGUGCUACACCUACCUGCUUAUUGGUCUGAGUGCCCUUUCGGGUUUUUACCUGGACUUGAAGCGGUGUCGUAAAUAUGGUUUUCACCAACUCCUUAUUUUGUUGUGCUCUUUUGCCCAUGAUCAGACGGCCAUGUUUGCCUUUUUUCCAUUUUUACUCACAGUCCCCUUUCAGGUUUUCACCCUGCUCACUUUUUAUUUUAUGGAACACUCGUACUCAUGGUUUCGUGACCAUGACCGUCCCUCAUUUUUACUCAUAGCAUUCCCUUUUCAGGUUUACACCAUGCCCAUUUUUUUUGUGGGGGUGUGUUUAAGGUCAUGCCCCUGGGACCUGGGCUAUGAUUUAAGGUCAUAUAUAGACUUGACCAUUGUGCAAAGCAGUUUAACGUCAUGUGGCCAGGACGUACGCUACAGUUUAAGGUCAUAUAACUUGGACCAUGAUGGAAAUGGAUGAUGGUCUGUGGAGUACAUAGAGUGAGUAUGGUGGUGGUUUAACUCACUUUAAGCAGAUGGCACGAGACUGUUUAUGUAUGAUGGGUGAAGUUUUGUGUGGAAGGUGGAUAAGGGGCGGCCCACUAGCUGUCGGUGAGUAUGGAUGAUGGAAUGGAUCACUAGGGAAUGUCGUGAGUUUAUGAAGGGCAAUGGAGAUAGACUCAUUGGGGAGGNNNNNNNNNNNNNNNNNNNNNNNNNNNNNNNNNNNNNNNNNNNNNNNNNNNNNNNNNNNNNNNNNNNNNNNNNNNNNNNNNNNNNNNNNNNNNNNNNNNNNNNNNNNNNNNNNNNNNNNNNNNNNNNNNNNNNNNNNNNNNNNNNNNNNNNNNNNNNNNNNNNNNNNNNNNNNNNNNNNNNNNNNNNNNNNNNNNNNNNNNNNNNNNNNNNNNNNNNNNNNNNNNNNNNNNNNNNNNNNNNNNNNNNNNNNNNNNNNNNNNNNNNNNNNNNNNNNNNNNNNNNNNNNNNNNNNNNNNNNNNNNNNNNNNNNNNNNNNNNNNNNNNNNNNNNNNNNNNNNNNNNNNNNNNNNNNNNNNNNNNNNNNNNNNNNNNNNNNNNNNNNNNNNNNNNNNNNNNNNNNNNNNNNNNNNNNNNNNNNNNNNNNNNNNNNNNNNNNNNNNNNNNNNNNNNNNNNNNNNNNNNNNNNNNNNNNNNNNNNNNNNNNNNNNNNNNNNNNNNNNNNNNNNNNNNNNNNNNNNNNNNNNNNNNNNNNNNNNNNNNNNNNNNNNNNNNNNNNNNNNNNNNNNNNNNNNNNNNNNNNNNNNNNNNNNNNNNNNNNNNNNNNNNNNNNNNNNNNNNNNNNNNNNNNNNNNNNNNNNNNNNNNNNNNNNNNNNNNNNNNNNNNNNNNNNNNNNNNNNNNNNNNNNNNNNNNNNNNNNNNNNNNNNNNNNNNNNNNNNNNNNNNNNNNNNNNNNNNNNNNNNNNNNNNNNNNNNNNNNNNNNNNNNNNNNNNNNNNNNNNNNNNNNNNNNNNNNNNNNNNNNNNNNNNNNNNNNNNNNNNNNNNNNNNNNNNNNNNNNNNNNNNNNNNNNNNNNNNNNNNNNNNNNNNNNNNNNNNNNAUGGACCGGCUAGGGGAAGCAUGCAUGGAAUGGCAGCAAAGGGCGUGCGUGCAAUGGAGGAGGCACACAUGUGUGGAAGUUUAACAUCAUGUAGCCACGAUGUGUGCUAUAGUUUAGGGUCAUGCAACUAGACCGUGGUGCGAAGCAGUUUAGUGUCAUGCAGCCAGGACGUGCACCACAAUUUAGGGUCUUGUAACUGGACCGUGGUGCAAAGCAUUUUAGUGUCAUGCAACCAGGACAUGUGCUACAAUUUAAGGUCAUGCAACUGGACCAUUGUGCAAAGCAGUUUAGUGUCACGCGGCCAGGACAUGCAUUAUAGUUUAGGGUCAUGCAACAGGACCGUUGUGCGAAGCAGUUUAACGUCAUGCAGCCAAGACGUGUGCUACAGUUUAAGAUCAUGCAACUGAACCGUUGUGCAAAUAAGUUUAACGUCAUGCGGCCAGGAUGUGUGCUACAGUUUAAGGUCAUGCAGCUGGACCGUUGUUCAAGCUGCCAUGUAUGCAAGUAGUUUAGUGAGGGGUGGACUCACUGGGGGAUGUGAAGUGGAUGAGGCUCCAUGGCAAAUGAAUCUAUAAAUGGUGGUCUGACUCACUAGGGAUGAAAUGGUAGACACCAUUUAUGGGCAGUGGGUUCAAAUUAUGAAGGUGGCCCAGUGAGGGAUGGUAGGUGAAAACAGACUCACUGGGGGUUAGGGAGUGAGUGUGACUCCCUGGUGAUUAAAAUGGGUCAACUCACGUGAUCAGGGGCACGAGUAUGACUCUAGUGGGGAUGGAAAGGUGAUGAGGGUCGAACCUUGCCAAUGUGCACACAAAGGGGCCAGCUAGGGAAGGCAUGUGUGGAGGCGCAUGCAAAAGUCGUGGGUGCAGAGGCAGAAGUAUGCUCUGUGGUAUAGGGAUUGUACUCGACAGUAGUCUGUCGAAGAUAGACGUGCACAACAGCAACAUGUGGUGAGGGGCACGCUCGGCGACUUAUGUACGUCAGCAUUUUGAGGUCGUGCCUUCGAGACCGUAAAUCAUGGGUAGUACCUUUUCAGGUAACGUCCGUUGAUAGGAGGCAUUGCCUUCUUCCUAUCGGAAUAGGUAACCCCCAUUUGGAGAAGCCUUCUUGAUUACGAAAGGGCCUUCCCAUUUUGGUUCAAAAUUCUGCUUGCGUCCCUCAUGCAUAACGAUCAGUCGUUUUACUGCUAAGACCAAGUCACCACGAGUGAAUGAGCGAACUUUGACUAACUUGUCAAAAGCCCUUUUCAUCCUCCCCCGAUGAAGUUCAAGGUUCUGAUGGUCUUCAAAUCUCUUCUCGUCAAGUGCGUCUAAUUCUUGAUAGCGCAACUUAACCUAUUCAUCUUCUGUCAUAUCAUGAUGUACGAAGUGAAGGAAGUUGGAUCUCGAGACGUAGUACUACUUCACUCCCAUAAACUAAAGAAUAGGGAGUAGAGUUAGUGGCACUCCAAGUCGUAGUGCGAUAGGCCCAUAAAUCCUUGAGAAGCUUCUCAUGUCAAUUUUUUCUCGUCUUCAACAACGAUUUCCUCAAAACAUUGCAAAGGGUCUUGUUGAAGGCUUCGGCCAAACCAUUUGCUCGAGGGUGGCAUAUGGUAGAGUACUUCCACUCGAAGCCAAAUUGGUUAACCAAGCAGUCGUUGUGCUAGCUUCUGAAUUGCGGACCAUUAUCAAAUAUGAUCCGGUCAGGCACACCGAAUCGGUAAAUGAUGUGAUGUCGCACGAAGUUAAGCACUGAUUCCCCUGGGACAUGCUUGAGAGGGAUCACCUCAACCCAGUUGGAGAAAUAAUUUGUAGCAGCUAAGAUGAAGGCAUGGCCCAAUGCUGAGGGAGGGUCGAUGGGUCCGACAAUAUCCAUACCCCAUUGUGAGAAUGGUCAUGAUAUCACUAGAGGAUGCAGAGGCUUUGGUGGCUAGUGAAUGAGGUUCGAAUGUAUCUGACACAAUUGGCACCUUUUGGCGUUGGUCAACUAAUCUGCGACUAUCGAUGGCCAGUAAUACCCCAACCUAGGUAUCCAUUCGUAAAGCUUAGGACCAGACUGAUGAAGGUGACAUAUCCCGGCAUGCACUUCUUCUAGUACUUUCUUCCCCUUUUGUGUCAACGCAUGGGAGGAGGAUGUCAUCAAAGGAUCGUCAAAAGAGCACGCCCGUCAAGAAGAGUGUAUUUGUUGGACAUUCUUCAUAAACUGUUGCGCUCAAUGCGAUCGUCCAGUAGCAGACUUGUUUAAUAAAGUUGAUUAAGGGUUCCAUCAAAUCCUCAACUUGUUCGAUCUCAGCACAUAUUCGAUCAAAGAUCUCUCCUUCCUAUAUCUCGGACUUAUCGCAUUGGACCUGCUUCGCCUUCGUUUCAGCUUCGAAAGCAUCUUUGGCAGUGAGGAGUGCCCCGAAUGGGUAAGGAGGGCAUUCCAAAACAAGAAUCAUUUCAUCGUCCCCAUCUAACUCUUUAACCAGCUAGAUGAGUCUCCACUCUGCUACCUAUAUAGGUGUGGGCUCUUUCGAGGAGAUUUAAAUAGUGGCACCAAGCUUGGCAAGGGCAUCAGCCUGGGAAUUCAACCUUCUAGAGAUGUGCCUUAAGGAAAAUUCAUUGAGGUUCGCCAUCAAGGUCUUAGCAGUGUCAUGAUAAGGCUUGAGGCUGUCUUUUCUCACAUCGUAUAUCCCUUUGAGCGACCGUAUUACCUGCUGAAAAUCAUCGAAAAUGGCUAACCGUUCCAGUUCCAGGCCUAAGGCGACUGCAAGCCCUAUUAUGAGGGCUUGAUACUUAGCCUCAUUGUGCGAGUCGGCAUUUGCGAGGGAGAAGGGCAAGGGAAUGAUGCCAUCUUGAGGGGUCAAAAACACUACGCCAACACCACCUCGUUUAGACUGAAAGGCCCCGUCAAAGUACAUCUUCCAAUCAUAAGCUGAUUCAGUGCAAAACACUUCUUCAUUGGGAAGGUCGCUUGACAGGGGAGAUUCUGCCAGUAAGGGGUGUGCUUCCAAGAAAUCAGCCAAGGCUUGGCCCUUGACGGCUUUUUGUGGCACAUACCUGAUGUUGAAUUCCAUUAGUAAUAGCGCUUGACAAACAAGGGCGUGUCAUGAGGAACUUUAUGGGGGCAGCUCUCGAGAUAAGCUACACUUCAUGAUCGAGUAAAUAAUGACGAAGCUUUUGGACUACGAAGAUCAGUUCCAGGCACAUCUUCUCGAUUGGCGGGUAAUUUUUUUCAGCCCCUUGCAUACUGUGACUAAGGUAGUACAUAGCGGUUUCUUUCCCCUCCUCAUUAUUUUGUGCCAGGAGUGCACCAAGCGACUCAUCGAGGGCGGUCACUUAUAAAAUGAGGGGCCUUCCUAGCACAAGCAUGGAGAGUACCAGGGGGCAUAGAAAAUAUUCUUUGAUAUCAUCCAAGGUGGCUUGACAUGCCUUAUCCCAUAUAAGCAAGUUGUCCCUGAAGAGACCGGAGUUCUCGGAAUGUUGUUGGUGGUGGCAUUCCUCUAAUUGCCUUGAUCUUGAAAGGCUCGAUCUCCAAUACCUAAUACUUGAAAAUGACCCUUAAGAAUUUCCUUGAACGUACACCAAAGGCGCAUUAUAAGGGGUUCAUCUUGAGCUGAUGAAGGCGGAGCUACUUGAACACCUUCUAAAGGUCCUGUAUGUGAACAUCCUUCUUUUUGGAUUUUACCACCAAAUCAUCUACGUAACACUCCACCUACUUGUGUAGCAUAUCUUUGAAAAUGGUGGUCAUUGCUCGCUGAUACGUAGUACCUACAUUCUUCAAUCCAAAUGGCAUCAUCGUGUAACAAAAGACCCCUUUGGGAGUCAAGAAGGCAGUGGCCUCUUCAUCCUCUGUUGCCAUUCUUGUCUGAUUGUACCUUGAAUAUCCAUCCAUGAAGGAGAAGGUUUGACAAUGUGCUGUGAUAUAGAUAAGAAUUGUUGUGAAUGGCAAUGAGAAGUCGUCCAUUGAAUAAGAAGCAUUCAAAUCAAGGAAAUCGAUGUAGACCCCGAUUUGCCCGUUCUUCUUUUUAACAGGCAUAACAUUGGUGAACGAUUUCGGGUAUUUGACUGCCCGAAUAAAACAUGCUUCCUUGAUUUUAGUUACUUCUACAUCUAUCUACAUUUCAAGAUCAGACUGGAACCCUCUCGAUUUCUACUUUACGGGUUUGAAAGAUGGGUCAAUGCCGAGCCAAUGUACUACGACUUGGGAAUCGAGACCAGGCAUCUCAUGAUAGUGCCAAACAAAGAUGUCUCGAUUUGCUCAUAGGAAGGUAAUAUAGUGUUACCUCUCAUCUGGUGACAUGUUGGCUGGAAUAAAAGUUGGCCUCGGGUCAUUCUUAUUGCCCAAGUUUAUUUCCUCGAGAUCAUCAGUCGUAGCUUGUCCACCCUCUUCCCAUUCCUCGAGGCCUUCUUGAACUUCCAUCUCUCAUUGGUUUGUGAUUCAACGGGUCUUUUGUCGACCUCGAAUAUCCCAUCUUUCGAGUUCAUAGGUACCCAUGCUUUUGACAUCUUCGCCUCAAAUUAGUUUUGACGGUAUAAAGCAUGGUAGCCAUUUCUUCUGCCUGCUUGCUUGAGGAGGGGUCGGUUUCAAGGAGAGGGAGUGCAUAUGGUUGAGAGAGAGAAUUUUGAGGCACUUGGGUCGAUUGAGAAGAGCAUGGCUCAGAAAGUGCGAUAGGAGAGUUAUGUGAUUCAACGAUCAUAGAUACAACCGCCACAUCAUUCUUGUUUUUGUGAUGACCAUUUCUAUGUACUCCUAGAUCCACCACUGGUUUGGGUGGUAUAGAAGGUUGUGAGGUAGGCUUAGGUGGUGGAACCUUGUUUUGGGAUACCGGCUAAUUUUGCUAUGCAACCAGUAUGGAUUGAAGAGGUUGUGAGGAUUAAGUAGGUAAAGGUCGCGCCACCUGACUUGGUGCCAACUGGCCAGGUUGUGCAGCCAAGUCUAGUGCAGAGGGGUUAGAUUGGGCGAUAGGAGUAGGUAUUAGUGAAAUAGAGGUUGAUGCAGGUUGAGGAUUUGGAGAUGGUUGGGUAUAUGGAACCAAUGGUAGUCUCAGGUACUUAAGGAGUGGUGGAUUGGUCGGCAUAUUUGGGAAUGGGAUGAGUGGCGGACCAGGGUACUUUAAGAGCCUCGAUUUCUACAUGAGCGACUGUAACUUCCUGCUUGACCUGAGACUGAUUGGGUCAGUGUUGGUCACUGCUUCAGAGAUCUGCACCAUGUGGCAUGCUUCGUGAGAAUGGAAGCUCUGCCCUCUUGACUCUUUCAACCGUUGCUCGAAGUCGAGCUCAGGAGGCCAUUGCGGUUUUUUGGCCUUGGAAUUCUUGUGCUGCCUAAUAAGCUUCUCAGUAGUGGGAGGAGGCUUCUUGUUGGCUCUAGAUGCUAAAUCAUCAUCGACUAUCAGGCACAGCUGCUUAGGCCACCAUCUUCUUUAGCUGUUUUUUAUGUUGCUUGCUAAUGUUGCAACUUUUCAAGUCUUUAUCAAGAGCCUCAAAGUCUAGGCAUUCGAGAGUUGUACCUACAGAAGAUGUAUUAGCAGAAGAAGAAUAAGGGUUAGAAGAGUUGGGAUAGAAGAUGGGGGAGAGCUUUUAAGGUCGUCACUCAGAUUGGACCGAUCUGGGUAGCUUUUAGUGUCAUCAUCGAAAUUGGACGUGUGCAGGGAAUCUUUUAGGUCUUCAACCUGCUUGGACCAUUGGGGGGUGCUUUUAAUGUCGUCACCCUUAUCGGACGUGUAUAGGGAAUCUUUUACAUCCUCACCAUGCUUAGACCAUUGGGGGGUGCUUUUCACCCUUAUCGGACGUGGUGGGAACAUGACCUAAGGAAGGCUCAGGAAUGUCCUCCUAACCAGACUGUUGGUCGUGGUCAGUAGAAGCAGCCAACUUGGGGAAGAAGUCCUUCAAGGGUAGGCAACGGAGGACUUCUUCCCCUCAGUGGAAGCAGCCUACUCGUCAACGAGCGGCCCUUGGUGUUCGUCUCCUUCUGUCAUUUUUAAGAAUGGGCACAUACUGACCAGGUUCAUGUGGCUUGGGAGUUGGCUUUGCUUGGCGAACCGCUUCCCUUCUCAUGGACUUCAUUCUAUUUUGUCCUCAAUAGACUUGCCAUGAUUGGGAAGUCGAGGGUUCGCCAAAAUUAGAAGGCUCGGGUGGUGCAUUCUCACAUGAGAUCUGUGUCUGAGUGAUUUCUUGUUUUGGCAGUCCGGUGGUUAGAACGUUAUCCCAGUAACGUGUCCUCCUUGGACUUUCUCCAUGAUUAUGGCUUGGAAACCGAAGCACCCCUCUAAUCCGUGACCUCGUAUCUGGUGAUACAAACACCAAAGGUUCUGGGUCCCUCGAGCGAGGUGUUUGGGCUGUCUUGAUGGCUUCGGCGCAAUGAGCCCUACUUGAAGCAUCAUGCAUAACAUGGCCUGAAGAAGGUCUGGUGGAAGUCCAUCAAGAUGAUAUUCUCUCUUGUUUUCUUCUUGAAUUGUCACCACAUGAGAUGCUUCAGCUGCCCCGAAUGCCUUCUUGAGACAAUCGAGUUGUAUAUGCCCCUUCUAGAUUAAAGCAUCUAUGUGAUCUUUGAGAGUGAAUUAAUCCUGAACAGGGUGCCCCAACAUCCUAUGAUAGCGCAAUAAUUUUUGUGGGUGACAAAGUCAGCAUCUUCUGCCUUUUUCAUUUGAGCCAAGGCUAUCAUCUGUUGCUCUAUUAACAUCCGGAGUAAGGUCGGGACCCACUCCUUGUCAAAGCUGCAAACUUUCUUUCUUUUCUCAACCCAAUAGUCCUCUUUAUAAAGGCCGGAAAGUGGAGGCUCCUUAUUGUAGGACUUCUGUUCGCUUGCCUGGGAUGUCCCUUGAGUAUUUGUAGGAUUCACCCCCUUAGAUAAAUCUAGAGUUUGAGGAGAGGCCUUCUUUGGAUCUGAUAUAGUGACAGCAGCACUAAUCACUCAUUUCUGUUGAUUGCCCUGAGAAUUGGGAUGAGCAUUACUGGGGUUUCAGCUGUUUCCCUCGUUUGAUGACUGCGUCUAUGGUCUGUUGUGAUGCUUGAAAAGGCUUUCUAUAUGGACUGCUUUGGAGAUCAGAUCUGAUAUAGAAGUUGGGUUUGAGGCCUCAACAUGUAGGGAGUCUCCAACCGCAUGUUGCGCAUACAUGUUUGGACCGCAUGAAUUUUAGGCAUGGGGGUAGCUUGGUGCACAACUAGAUCUCUCCAUCUUGCAAUGAAUUGAUCCACUGGUUCAUCUGGGUCCUGGGUCAAUGUGAGAAGCUCAAUAGCCUGAACUUUUCUUUCAACUUCAUGGAAGCACUUGUAGAAAAAGUGCUCCAUUUUUUCUUAGGUCUGCACUAAGUUUGGAGGGAGUCGGUCAUACCACUUAAAUGUCGGGAAGAGUUUAAACGAACUGACGAAGAAGAAGCCUCCCUUCAUCUGUUGUCUCUUGACACACUAAAUACAAAUGAGUGAUAUGAUGGUGAGGGGAACUCGUGCUAUUGAAGAGCGGGAGUCUUCCCUUCUGGUAGCUAGGGAGAAACAGGAGCUGGUCGACGUAAGAGGGAUAGGGCUUCUGGUAAAGAUCCAUAACCUGUAUGCCCAGGAUCUGCCUAACACGCAAGCUGUGGGUGACCAUGGCAUCGAUGUCGACUUGUGAGACUUGAUGAGAGGAGGAAUGGUCUUGCAAAGGCAAUGACUGCCUCAGGAUCGGAUUGGCUAGAUGAUGAUAAUUGGCCUCCUGAUGAGAUGAGUUUCCAGGGAGCCAAGUCCUUUCCAUCAGCUCGAUCUUCUCCAUCAUCCUGCCCAUCAUAUCCUUGAACCGGUUCAUACAGUCUACUUGAUCGUCGUUGGGCUACUUGACAACCAUCACGUUGACUAUCUCUUUAGGAAGAUUGAUCUCUUGUGCAGUCGAGGUCUUACAUACCCGUCGGACUGGGUGAGGCAGGUCGGUCAGCAGGGGCUCGACAUGCCCCGAUUGAGCUUGAGCCUUGUAUGUUGGUCGGGUCAAGACCGGUUCACGAUGGUCUUGGGACCACAAGGGCUGCAAGGUUAGAUCGUCUCCUACGACACUGAUGACAAUGCAGCAUUCCGGUUCUUCCACCUCAAGCUCUGCUACAACCUGUAAUGGGUAAAAGGGGUUCUUGGCCAGGGGAUCAGCAGGCUUGCUUGCACCGAGUGUCUUAGGUUCUUCUCUCAGCACUAUUUGAAAGCCGCAAUCAUUCCUGGCCUUCAGGCUCUGGUAUACCUCCCUCUAGGAUCGAGAUUGGGACUGUGAUUGUGUAUGGUCUGCUUUCUUCAAACACGACUGGGCAAUCUCCAUGAGAUGAGGCAAGGGAUGUGGACCAGGAACAAGAGUCAGCUCAGGCUUUCUUGGCUUGGGAAGAGACGGGGGAUGGAAUAUCUCAUCACCCAAGGGUCGGUCUAAAGAGGGUACUCUUAGAGAAAGCCUUCGAGUACCAGGUCUUGAGCGGUUCUUCCGAAGGAGAAGGGACGAACGGGGGACGAGACAACUGUCAGUGGCCUUUCUAUCAAGAGCUCGAAGUAGUUUGUGGAGGUGGCGGGGGUGUGCCCUUUGAAGAAGGGUUCCAAGUGAUCUGGGGAUCAACCUGGGCUCAAGCAAUCGAUCGGGCCUUAGGAGGUUGAGUAUCAUGAGCAAGUUUUGUGAGGGAUUAGUCUUGUGACCACCCCUCACAGAGUGCGCAGGUAUGUACAAAGAGGGACGACGAGAGGGUCGUCUCUCAUGUACUCGGGUAAAUGUAGCAACAGGGCUGCCCCGAGUAGUGCGAUGCAUAUGCAAUAGAUAUACAGGGCCGAGUCUAAGAGGACCCAAACUUGGACAGUGGCUCGAGACAGCCUGAGGGUUGCCCCGAGGUGUGGCUCAAGUGGAUGGACCACGAGCUUUAAUGCGUGUGUGAGAGGUGGUGGCCUUAUGGCCUCCUCCUCUAUGUGUCGAGCCUCUUGUUACAGGGGCCUAAUGUGGUAAGAGUGGGGGGUGACCUUACGACGACCCAUAGGAGCACUGACAGCUGGACUGCCAUGUGUAGGAAAGGAAGGGGUGGCCUUUUGGCUGCCCUCAGUAGUGGGACCAGCAAGUGAUUUGUUGGUAGCAGGGUGCAUGCAGUGUGUGGUGGCUAGUGCACCACCCAUGAAGGGUCCAUCAAGGCUAGGAGAUGGGGAGUGAGAAACGUUUAGGUCCCCCCUUUUACCAAUCUAGGUUAGGACCUGGGAGCAUGGCACGAGGUCAACACUCAGAAGGAAGGUCGAGAACGAAGUUCGGGGAAUCUGUUCUUGAAGAGAACUCGCGAGUGCGAAGAUUAGGAAGUCCCCGACUCGGAUGGAAGGCUUAACCGACCCUGAAGUCAUGUGUGUGUUAGUGACCAUGAAAUAGAAGAAAGGAAAGCCAAACAAGGACAUUCUGACUAUGGGGUAGCGUGUCCCCAGUGGAAUCGCCACGCUGGUUUGGUGCCUCGAUCUCACCCUCCAAGUGGGGAUGACCUGGUGGCAUGGUUCCGGGUUUGAGAUGGACCCGAGACCUGAGAUCGCUCUCUCGGGAACAGCGUAAGGAGGACACGGGCAGGAAUACCAACCGGUGACAGAGGAAUUGAGUCGUGAGGCAGAACUUACCUCACAUGGGUCCAUGACAUGCUCGGGCUGGCUCGCAUGGGCGCCCUCUUAGAUCACGUGGAAUACCCCUGGCUUGUGGCCGGUUUGGAAUCGUCUCCCUUGACCUAUUUCUUCUUCCCUGAAAAUACACACACACAUUAGAAUGCAAACAAGUGGGUCAAAAGACUCCACCUUGUUUUUGAAUGAAUGCACAUAGGCAUGUACAUUUGAGGGGAUAAUGAAGGAACAUCGACAUUGGAUCCCUAUCAAUUGGAUAGCCUUACGGCAUCUUCUUCAUAAGAGAUUCGCGACAUUAUUUCAUGAUGAAAAAUGAAAGAAAAAGGGGGUGAGAUGAAGAAAAUGUAGGAGAGACAAAGAAAGACAGAGAAAGAAAGAGUAGAAUAGAGGAACGAAGAUCAGUUUGGCUUUCAUCUUCUUCAGAGAGAGAGAGAGAGAGAAGAAAGUAAAGAGAAACGAAGGGCCAGUAUGUCCUUCAACUAGUCCUUUAGAGAGAAAGUAAAGAGAAACUUUUUAAAGAAAAGGGAAAUGAAGGUCUAGUAUGCCUUUCAACUAGUCCCUCAUAAUGCAAAUGAAUAAAGAGAGAAGGCAAGAUUGCUUUUCACCCAGAUCCUUUAAAGAAUAAAAUAACAAAAGAAGCAAGAAAGUUAAGAGAGAAGAGAAAAGGAGAAGAGAGAAAAAGAAGAAAGAGAAGAAAGAUACAGACGGAAGCUUAACUACCAUUUGUGAUGAGAGAGAAGAGAGAAGGAGAGAGCAUAAAUGGUGGCUUAGUUGCCGUCUGAAGAGAGAGAAGAGGGAAAGAGAGAGCACAGACAGUGGCUUAGUUGUUGUCUGAAGAGAGAGAAGAGAGAAAGUGAAAACACAGAUGUGAAGAGGGAGAAGUGAGAAAGAGUGAGCACAGACGGCGACUUAGCUGCCAUCUAUGAAGAGAGAGAAGUGACAAAGAAAGAGUACAAACGGAGGCUUAACUGCCGUCUAUGAAGAGAGAGAAGAGAGAAAGAGAGAACACAAACAGUGGCUUAUCAAAGAGAUAAGGAAGGGAGAGAGUACACAACAGGUGGCUUAUCUAUCGUUUGUGAAAGGAGAGAAGAGAGAGUAUACACAAAUGGUGGCUUAUCUGCCAUCUGUGAAAGGAGAGAAGGAAGAGAGAAAGUACACAGAUGGUGGCUUUGCUACCAUUUGUGAAAAGAGAGAAGGUAGAGAGAGAAUACAUAGAUAGCGGCUUAACUAUCAUUUGUGAAAGGAGAGAAGGAAGAGAGAGAAUACAUAGACGACGACUUAACUGUUGUCUAUGAAAAGAGAGAAGGAAGAGAGAAUGCACAGACUGCGGCUUAACUGCCGUCUAUGAAAGGACAGAAGGAAGAGAGAGAAUAUAUAGAUGAUGGCUUACCUAAUGUCCGUGAAAGGAGAGAAGGAAGAGAUAGGAUACAUAAACAGCGGCUUAGCUACCAUCUGUGAAAGGAGAGAAGGAAGAUAGAGAAUACACAGACAACGGCUUAGCUACCAUCUGUGAAAGGAGAGAAAGAAGACAGAGAGUACACAGGCAGCUGCUUUAGCUGCCAUUUAUGAAAAGAGAGAAGGAAGAGAAGGAAAGAAGGGGAGAGCACACGGACGGUGGGUUAGCCACCGUUUGUGAAGAAAAAAUAUAAGAGAGAGAAAGAGAAGAGAGAUAAUGUAGAGACCGCAGCAAGGCCUGCCAAAAAGGGUAGGCCCACAUUGCUGUCCCUGGGAAGAGGGAGACAGAAAGAGAGAGAAAACAAAAAGAAAGGGAAAGAAGAAAAGAGAGAGAGAAGAAAGAAGAGAAAAUAGAAAGGAAAGAAGAAGAGAGAUAAAGGAAAGAAGAAGAGAGGGAAAGGGAAGAAGAAGAGAGAGAAAAGAAAGAAGCAAAGAGAGAAAAGAAAGAAGAAGAGAGCGAAAAAAGAGAGAAAGAAGAUAGAAGAGAGAGUUACCUCGAUGACUGAGGGGUACCCAUUAAAAUAUUCUCUCUCCUCUCUCUCUCUAAACCAUGACCCAAAACUCAAGCAAAAGCCAAAUUUUAAUUGAUCAAGAUUGUGUCCUUUACAUGUGAGCAUCACGUGCUUAUAUAUAAUUUAAAUCCAAACAUGGGUGGAUGCUCAAUUUUUAACCUAAUUGUAGAAAAAUAGGAAUUAAAUGAAUUAAAAAAAAUUAAGAAAUUAGGUACAAAAUGAUGAUUUUGGCCCUCACCCACAAAUCUUGAAAUUCCAAUUAAGUCUCUUUCAUGGCCAUGCAACCUUCGCGAUCUUCCGGGGUCCGUUUGGGGUCCUGGUUUCAUCCAGCCAAAAGAUUAUUCUUUUCUUGAUCGUCUUGGGAAGACGAUCGUUUUGAUACCCAUUUCGAACCAUGGAUCGGACUUUUGGGCCACGAUCACGAGAUGUAAAAAUCAUGAGAAACAUGUGAUCUUUGAUUCAAGAUCACGUGUUUCUCCAUUUUUUUCAUGAUUUCUUUAUUGUACUUUGAAGAGCAUGCCGUCAUGAGCAUUUUGGCGACAAAAGUGGCUCGAUUUGGUGUCCGAACGACCAUUUUCCAAAUUUGAUAUUUUGACCAAAGUUUGGUUUCUGAUGGCCGAAAAUUGCAGCAACUUCGACUCCAUAGUGCAACGAAUUUGACCGUUCAUCACGUACAAGAUUUAGCUCAAAUGAAGCCUCAGACCUCAUGCUCGUAAUGGGCUUGAUUGUGCGUCGAUCCAAUGCGUGAGCGCCGUGAUGUGGGCAUUCGAUUGAGGGGACGUGCAGAUGGAAAUUUCUUGCUUCUUUUGGAACUUUCCAACGAACUUAUCUCUUUGAUUUCUCUCGGCUCGGGCCGUGUCAUCAUGUGUGCCAUAUAUCAAAUCGAUCGGGUCGAUGAAAUGAACAUGCUCCCAAAAUUUGGGCUCGAUCUGACCUGGGAUGAGGAAGAUACAACCAUGUGACGUUUGCCCCCGAAAUUGAGAACCACAGUUUUCAUUAAUGAAAAUUGGUUCACCAAGGGUGCACCGUAAUAGUCUCAGAAUGAUCCAAGAAGGUUCCAGAUUGUGCACUGUAAUAAAAAUUUUAUAGCUUCCGUAGCCCACAAGUUUUGGUACCUACGGAUAAGGGUCACAAACUGCUUUCUCCUUAUUCACAUCAGGGAUACAAGUGUUGAAAAAUACCUUCAGACAGUGACAUCAUCCAUAUGGGAAAUAACAUUACCCACCUGGGGCAUUAAAUACCACUAGUGUGUCAUGUAGGUGACAUCACACCCUAUGUAAAUGUCCUCACACCCUCCAAAUGACCAAAAAUACCCUUAUUAAAAAAAUAUUCUAUGUAUAAAAUAAGGGUAUAUAGGUGUCCACAAUUGUUGACUACAAUGAUAAAUUACUCCACAUAUGAGCACCCUAACAUAACCCCCCCCCACACGCACACAUAUNNNNNNNNNNNNNNNNNNNNNNNNNNNNNNNNNNNNNNNNNNNNNNNNNNNNNNNNNNNNNNNNNNNNNNNNNNNNNNNNNNNNNGGAAAAUGCUGAGAAUAGCCCACUAGCUCAUAUGAACAUAUGAGCCCAACGAUCUAGACUGAAUCUGGGCCGAUCUAACGGUAACGACCUCAUUUUGUGUUUGAAUUUUAAUUGUUUUUCUACGAAUCCAAAUAACUUGAAAUUUUAGGAGUUCAUUCUUGUUUAUGAUACAAAAUCUAACAGAUCUGGAUAAUAGCCAGCAACUCCCUCAGUAUAGGGUGGUUGUGCCCUAUAGAUGGUUCUAGGCUCUCUCGGGUUUUAGGUUUGAAGUUCCAAGAGGCUAGCUCUAAAGUUUCUCAUCUCUUUAAAGCUCUAGGGUCUCCAUCUCUAUCUCUUUAGGUUUUUCUCUCUCUCUAUGUCCAAUCGUAUUCUUUGUCCCCCCUCAAAUGACCACGAAAAGAGGCCUUAUAAAAGCUUGUUGGAAAGGAUAUGCACGCAUGACCAACAAAUCCCUCGAUCAAAGAUGCACAUUUUGAGGGUCACAGAUUUAGGCGGCAUGGGUCUUGUCGCCGGGGGGCGGCACGGGUCGUGUAACCCAAGUAAAUUGAAAAAGUCAAAAUUCAAUUUGGGGCUAGUCAGAACUGGGCGGCACUGAGAGUGUCAUCUGGGUGGCAUGGGUUCUGUCACUUGAGCAGCACGCCCCAUGUCGCACACACCAAUUUUGGUCCAAAUUGAGACUUUUUACUUCUGGUGUGUUCUUCAGCCUCUUGUGAAGUUCUUAAAGAAAAUUUGAGUCAAAACGGAUUAUUUUACUAUUUUACUGAAUUUUUUGGUAAAACAGGGUGUUUACAGAAAUAUGGGUCAAAACAAGGUUUCUACAGGGUUCCAGGUAAGAGAAUUGGUUCUAGGUCACAGGAUAGAUUGUGUCAACUAUGGAUUUGGGUUUACUAGAUGAAGUAUGAUCCUAAGGGUUCAGGAAACCACAGAAUUUGCCAUAUUUAAAAUGGGGUGUCUACAUUUGCCCCUCUUUGGCACUCCUUGUCCUUUGGGGGACAAGUGAGUGGCAAAGAAAUAGACACUUUGACGAUCUCUGUCCUUUGAGGGAUAGGUGAACGUCAAAGAUAAAGCAAAUCCUGAAGUCACGUGGUCAGGGGGCACACCAACUAUUCCCUCCAAAUGCGCUCACCGAGCUCACUCACCUAGAGCAUUUUUCCCUCUAGGCUUUUCGGCGUGAGAUGUCGGUGAGUUACACAAGCUUGAAACUCGAGUUGGAUUUUCUGACCGUGUCACUUAACUUCUGGGGUUUUGCAGUUUGAAAUUUUUAACCCUGGCAUUUUCUUUGAUCUCCUUAGGAUUUCCUAAGGUUGUCUAUGGUAAAGGAAUUUUAUAGGAAGAGACUUGUCUGGUUGAAUCCGAAGAGAGAGACGAGGUAGUAAUGCGGUAAUCGCAUCAACGUGGGAAUCGCAGUAACACAGUGAUCAUCACAUAUGGGUGUCGAAUCUCCUUUGUUUUAAAAGUCUUUUAAGAAAAAUUGAACUUAGGGGAAGAUUUAAAAUAGAACUCGGAGCAGGGACAGGUUACGAUUUUAAUAAAGAAAUAAAAGUUUUUGAAAACACAUGACAUAUAGUGAAAAUUUUAAAAAGAGGAAGAUAUUUCGAAAACAAAGUUGGUUAAUAAUUUUAACUCUUGCAACCAUAGAACCCUCUAAGAAAUUUAGCGUCAUGCAGCAAUGGACCAUCACUCGACCCUUUUACGUCAUAUGGGGAUAGAAAUUUUCAUUGAAUAGGGUUGUUGUGCCCUGAACACACCUGACCUUUUACGUCAUAUGGGGAUAAACGUUACCCUUCUCAGCUCUUUCACGUCGCAUGAUUUUGACAUAGAACUGAAUUGGCUUUAGUUGUCAGUUUAGGCUCAUGCCACCAAGGAGCAUUUUCUCUCUCUCUCUUUUUUGUUAUAUCAUUAAAGGGGUAAAACAAGGUUCAAGCUGGGAGACACGACGCAUGCCGCCUGGGUGACACGGGGCACAUCACUCAGUCUUAGGUACGGACUUGGGCGACACGGGGCGUGCCGCCCAGUCCACCAACCCCCAAAUUUCAUUUUUAUCAUUUUGUUCAGUUUUAGGGUUAUCUAAACCCUCUGUUGGCCAAAGUGGAUAGCCACAAGACGAGUUUUGAGUCAGAUUUCUUGCUUUCUAUAAAAAUCAAACUCCUUUCCAUUCUCUCUUCAUCCUUCAAGCUCUUCUUUCUUCUUCACAACUUCAUCUUCUUGCUUUCUUCAUCGUUUUCCCUCUGAUCUUGCUAGUUUUUCUUCUUCUUACUCUUACAGUUUCAUGGCUCCUAGGAAAGACGAUACGGUUUCCAAGGGCAAAGGGAUGGUUUCUAAGCAGGCUAAUAAUGGAAGAGAUGAGGAGGCUUCCCCUCUUUUUCCUAGAGUUAGGCACUUCCCUGAAAGUCUGCCCUCUCACAUCCCGUAGGGCUUCGAUCGGGCGAAGUUCCUCGAAGUGUCAAUGGCUUUCCCAUCAUCGAACCCUAGUUCCGGGAUUGGUUUCUUUCCGCUCGGUAGUGGCUCAAGCUCAUGACUCUUCUGGCUUCAAUUUCGAUGAUAGGCAUCUUGAACAUGGCCUCUUGCCAUGUGAAAUUUCCACUCCUUGAGGCUCUUGCUGAGAGGUUCAACUAUCAGACUAUCAGACGAACACUUUCUUUUUUUCCACAUGUGACACAACGCCAACUUUGGAGGAAGUUAUCAUGAUUUAUGGCUUGAACGUGGCCGGUAUUGGAUAUCAACCUUCCACUGCCAUCGACGACCAUUCUAUCACUGUUGGGGGCUGUUUAUUCUUCUCAUGGUCAGUGGGUUGAUACAGAGUUGCUGGUCCAAAAUUGAGAGCAAUCUCGAGCUGCCGAACAAAUUCGUAUUUUUCUUUUUGUGUUGUUGGACUCCAUUCUCUUUCCGAGUGGUCGUAAGAUGGUUCGCAAUUCCCUUUUUCCUUUAGUCCAUGCCUUAUGGGAACUAGCGGGUUACACGGGCAUAUACUAGGGUCUUCACGACAGGGUCACGUGAGGUGGCCGAUUUAUUGAGGGUAGUGUCUUGAUUUUGCAGGUAUAUUUUUUAACAUAAUUUUAUUUUAUUUUGUCCCUGAAACUUAGUUUUUUGUCUAGGUUUUGGGCUCUGAAACCCAUAUUUUUGUCACAAGAAUUAAUUGGAAAAAGCUCGGCUUGAUCCAAGAGGGUCUCAGUUGGGCGACACUACCAGUGUCGCCCAAACCAAUUUCCCCCGAUCAUUCCGGGGUUCUUGAAUUUUUAUUGUGUGACCUUUUGGGAUGCUUUUGACUCCUGUUUUCUAAAGAUUUGGGCCUACGAACAUGUCACUGUUGUCCGCCCUACUCGGUCAAUGAUAGUUAUAUCUGCUGCUCUGGGACUAGCAUAUGUCAACGACACCACUUGACCCUAGGAUGUCAAUUAUUAUCAGAGGAUUCUUGACGAGUUUUCUUCAUUCGAUUAGGUGAUCAAGGGUCUUGAAAACAUAUCCCUAUUGCUUCCUACUUUAGGGCAUUCAUGUUCUAUUCUGGCAGGGCUGAACUUCACAGAGGGAUAUUUCCCUCAGAGGGUGCUUUGCCAGUUUCGCCAUACUCAGAAUUACACUUCUCCAUGAGAGGUGAUCGAUCGUCGCCCUAUCUUUCUACUUCGUCGACACUCUUCAACCCUUCGGGUCAAGGCAAGUUUGUCAUGGAAGGGAAAGAAGUACUCUUUUAGUGAGGGGUUAGCUAAGCAAGACAAGCCCACAACCACUCGAACUAUGAUUCUUGGUGGGACGUGCCUGUCCUCUUUCACUAUGCCCCAGAUCCUCGAGAUUUUGUGGCGAGUCUUAUGUUCUUGCUCAGGAUCUCGUGCCUCAUCGAGAAGAUGGUGCCUCUUGUUCAAAUAAACGAAUCAAAUCCAAUGAGGACAUAUGUGACCUCAACUUGGAAGAAGCUGAAGUAGAAUUGGCUCGAUGGGUGGCCUUUGUGGCAAAACUCAAGGAGCAGGAUGUUGAUCCGAAACCGAAGACUGAAUAGCCAAAAUAUUUUCUUUUCUUUAUUUUGUCCUUGGCACGAAUAAGUUGAUCUCAUGAUCAGCAUUAUUUUUCAAUAAUUUUAUUUUUGUUGAAGUCUGUUAAGAUAGUAGGAAUUUGAGUCAUAGGACCAAGUUUAAUGGCGUGCACGCCUGUAAUAAGCCCAUUUUAAUGGAUGAAUAAAAGUAGAGUUUUGAGAUACCCAAAAUUUUGUUUUCUAUUCUUCUUGAUCUCUCUUUUUUCUUUUCUUUUUUUUUUUUACUGCCCCUGUUGGGCGUCUUUUAACUUGUACAUGUGCAAUUGAUUUAUCGAAGCAUAGCGGGAUACUUUCUUUGCAAACAUCUUUCAAAAUUUUACAAACCCAGCCCCCUAGUUGUAGGGUUUUUGUCUCGAAUUUCCAGCUAUUGGGUCAUCAUACACACACAUAGGAAUAAGCUUGCCUCAUUUUGCCCAAGGGCAUCCAGUCGGGAGAAAGACGCUCCCAAACUAGCCAAUUUCAUCAUUGACGAGGUUCACCCAUCUCUUAUAUGUGGUAGUUAGUAUUUAUACUCUUACAACCAUGGAGUGCCUGACUAGUGUUGAGCUUUCAUAAUAGGCAUAGAAAGUUGGCUUCAAGAAUGAGGCCAGAUGACUAACAGUCUAACCUUUUGUAGUGAUGGAGGAAGUCCUUUCUAAAAGGAUUUUGAAAAUGGACAAUUUAAAAGUCCAUUUGAAAAGCAUUUUCAAAAAGAACGGGUGUUACAGUUUUGCCACCUGUGGCCCUUUGGUGGUCAUUUUCUUUAUCAAUUUUUUACCCCGAGAUGAUGAAAGGAUUUUCUUGUGGGAUCGUGAGAACUCAGGAGUCUCGAAGUUGUCCUUUUACCUUUGGAGCUUUCAUCUUGUGCUUCACGGAUCCAUAAAGAAUUCUUUGGAUUCUUGUCGGACUUUCAUCUUGGAGAGGUCUCGAUAUUAUCCUAGGGUUUGUCGAAAUCACUUUGGUUUUCCAUUCAUGUCACCCCUCUACAUCUUUCUGAGUUGGUUCUGUUGGGAGCCUGCAGGGUUUAGGAGGAGUCUUCAUCCUCAGGGUCUGCUUGUGCAUUAUUGUUGAAACUUACAAGUACUUAUUUGUACUUGAGUGUUUUGGGUCGAAAGCUCCCUCUUGGAGAUUUUUUUUUUUUCCUUUUGCCCGCGAUGCCUUUUUAGGUUUUCACUACAUCCUUUUUUUUUUUUCUUUAUAUUCUUUCAUUUUUUCUUUUGAGAUGCCUUUUCAAGUUUUCACCAUACUUUUGAGCCCGUUAUGGGUAAUAUUUUCUAAGAUACAUUGCAUUAAUGGGGUCAUUGAGUUCAUACCCCUCCUGAUUUUUAAUAUUAUACGAAUGGCCUUCAUCCACUCUGGAAAUCAUGAAUGGCCCCUCCCAAUUAGGUUUGAACUUGCCUAAAGGGUGUGGAUUUGCAGGAGUGUGGAAGAUUUUCUUGAGUAUCAUGUCUCCUUCUUUGAACUGUCGAGGAGCAACUUUUCUUUGAUAUGCCCUCUCGACCCUACGCUAAUAAGCAACGAUAUUUUGUGUCGAUCGUAGUCGUUUUUCUUCCAAAUUAAUGGGAGCAGUGAUUCGUCCUUCGAUCGUUUGUCCCUCAUCUAAAUUUCUAUGAAUGAGCACUCGGAGAGAUGUUAUCUCAACUUCAAUGGAUAGCACUGCUUCCAUAUCAUACACCAUUGAGUAUGGGGUCAUGCCAGUACGAGUCUUCUCAGUUGUCUGGUUGGCCAAUAGGGCGUCGUUUAGCGUUUCGUACCAAUAUUUUCCACAUUUUAUGAUUCUUUCUAUUAUUUUGAGAAGUCCUUUGUUUGUGGCAUCCGCUUGUCCAUUUCCUUGAGGGUAGUAAGGUGUGUAAAAUUUCUGCGUUAUCCCGAAUUUUUUACACACCUUAGUGACCCUUUCAUUGUUGAAAUUGAAUCCAUUGUCAGUAAUGAUUGACUCAUGAACACCAAAUCUGAAUACAAUGUUGUUCUUUAUGAAACGGGCAACAUGUUGUCCUUCUAUUUUGACACAUGAUGCGGUCUCUACCCAUUUUGUGAAGUACUCUAUAGUCGUAAAUAUAAAAUGGUGACCGUUUGAGGCUUUUGGUGAUAUCAUUCUGAUGACAUCAAGACCCCACAUGGCAAAGGGCCAUAUGGGGGGUGUUGAGUUGAGUGGUACGGAUGGUGCAUGGAUGAGGCCUCCAUAAAGUUGACAUUUGAGACAUCUCUUAACGAACUUCUAAGAAUCUUCAGUCAUGGUGGUCCAGUAAUAGCCUUGGCGCCUAAUUUUCUGAGCUAAGGCAGCUGCCCUAGAAUGACCUCCUUCAUUGUGUAACUCUGUCAGUACUUGGUCGAUUUCUGGCUGAUCGAGACAUCGUAGAAUGAUGUCAUCUAAUGAUUUCUUGAACAGGAGGUCACCUCUUACCAAGAUUCCCAUCGAAAACCUUCGAAGGUCUUCUUUAUCUUUUUUGGUGGCUCCUUCGGAUAGAACAUCGUGGAACCAUGGUUUUGCCUUAACUAACGCAUCUGAAGCCACAAGAGACACUUCCCCAUCGUUCUCAUUUUCUUACUCUAUUUCUUUUUCGAUCCUUGGUGGGGAAGGGUCAUUUUUUGUCCUGAUGUAGAAUGGAAGCGUGGUGAUUUCUGGGGGAAUAUCAAUUAUUGAGGCAAGGGUUGCAAGAGUGUCGGCGAACCGAUUAUUUUCCCUAGACACGUGCUAGAAGGUGAUUUUCUUAAAAUAUGGGAUCAUCUUUUCCACCUUUUUUUGAUAAGGUUUAAGCUUUUCUUCUUUCACCUUCCAAAUCCCUUGAAUUUGGUUUAUGACAAUUAAGGAGUCACCAAUCACUCGUAUUUGCUGGAUUUUCAUUCUCAUGGCGCUCUCGAGCCCAGCUAUCAAGAAUUCAUAUUCAGCAAUGUUAUUGGUACAUGGUAAAUUCAAUCUAAUGGCUAUUGGCAUUAAAAUCUUCUCGAGUGAGCAUAGUAUGGCUCCUAUACCUGACCCCCGUAUUCAUUCUUUACACCGUCGAAGUUUAGCUCCCAAAUUGAAUCCUCAAUUGUGCAGAGGUUCCCAUCAGGGAGAUCCGUGUUGACGAGAAUGUUAUCUGACAGUGUGUGUUCAGCUAAAUGGUCAGCAAUGACUUGUCCUUUGACCGAUUUUUUAGUGACACACUCGAUCUCGAACUUGCUCAACAGCAUUCUCCACUUCGUCAAACGUCCAUUAAGGACUGGUCUCUCCAAUAGGUACUUGAGUGGGUCUAUUUUUUUUAUGAGCUUGACUAAAUAAGAUAAGACAGAAUGUCUUAACUUCUGCAUAACCCAAACAAGUGUUAAGCAAUGCUUCUCCACAUUUGUGUAUCUUGUCUCAUAGUCAACCAUGGUUUUGCUGAUGUAGUAUAUCAUUUGUUCUUUUUCAUGGUUGUCGUAUUGUCCUAACAUUGCCCCCAUGGUCUUGUCUUUCACAGAUAUGUAUAGGAAUAAGGGGUUUAUCUAGACUUAGAGGACUAAGGAUGGGUGGUUUGGUGAGGUACUCCUUGAUUUUAUCAAACGCUUCUUAGCAUUCAUUAUCCCAUAGGAAUGGGGUAUCUUUCUUAAGAAGUCUAUUGAAUGGUGCGCACUUGUCUGCUAGUUGUGAAAUGAAACGUCUUAUGGCUUGUAUGUGACCUUGAAGCCCACAUAUUUCUCUAAUAUUUUGGGGAGGGGGCAUUUUUGUAAUGGCUCGUAUUUUGGACGGGUCCACCUCAAUGCCCCUUUGGCUUACUAUAAAUCCUAGUAAUUUGUCAGAUUCAACUCCAAAGGUACAUUUUUUUGGAUUGAGUUUGAGUUGAUGUUUUCAGAGUCUUUCGAAAAUGGUUCUCAGGUUGGUGAGAUGAUCAAACCUGGUCUUCGACUUGACCUGAAUGUCGUCAACAUAAUCUUCCAUAAUGGUAUGCAUUAAGUCAUGGAAGAUACUAAUCAUUGCCUGAUGAUAAGUUGCCCCUGCAUUUUUUAGACCAAAGGGCAUGAUGUUGUAGCAGUAAGUUCCCUAUUGUGUUAUGAAUGAAGUCUUGGUUUCAUCUUCUUUUUCCAUGAGGAUUUGGUUGUAACCCGAGAAGCUGUCCAUGAAUGACAACAUCUCGUGCCCUGCAGUGUUGUCCUAUAUUUAGUAACAGGAAAUUGUCUUUGGGACAUGCCUUGUUGAGGUCUCCAUAGUCGUACUCGGAUCCUCUCGUACUUUUUGGGUACGACCACUAGGUUGGCCAACCAUUUGAGUAAUCGACGGGUGUAAUGAACUUCACCUUGAGCAGUUUAUCAAUUUCUUCCUUAAUUUUGAGCUCAAGGUGGGUCUUUUGAUGUCGAAGUUUCUGCCUUACAGGCUUUGCCGCUUCAUUGAAUAUUACAUCAUGUUGCACCAACAUGGGAUCAAACCCUGGCAUAUGAUCGUAUGACCAGGCGAAGACAUCUCUAUAUUCCUUGAAAAAGGAAAUCAUAAUUUCCCGCUCCUCAAGAGAUAGGGAGGUUCCAAUCUUGGUUAACCUUGGGUCCUUCUCAGUUCCUAUGUUCACAAUGAUAGCCGUUGGGUCACCAUCGAACCUCUUCUUGAAUUGCUUGACAUGGGAAGUGAGUUCCUCAGGUUGAGAGAUUUUCUUAGACUCUUGGCUCUCUUGAUCUUCGUCUUGGUCAUCCAAUUCGCCAUCUUGGGUGUUGUGCACCAUUAUUGGUCUAUCUUGAAUGUUCGCUUGUUUUUUAAAAUUCUUUCCAUUAUCAUUAGUUUUAUCAUGUUUUGAAUUUUCAACAGUGGAUUUUGAAAUAUCAGAAGAGGUAUCCCUUAUGGGACUUUCGAGAGUUAUGUUGAGGACUGGAUGCGCAGGGGUGGUUAGAUGGCCACCCUGCGUCGAUCCGUUUUUUGGCACCGGAACUUGAAGGUGCCGCUUGUAUGCUUCCAGCGAUGUUGGAGAUAGAGGAGUGAUUGAUCAAUUUCGUUCCUGGGUUUGAAUAGGCGGAUGAGCAUGCUUGGCUACGUUAGAGCCAAUUGUGCAUACCUUCAAGUCCAGGUUAGCAAAAAGGUCUUCAAUUCCUAGUUCUUGUAUGUGCUGAGAUGUAGAAGAAGAAUUAUUUCCCGUUGGGGAUUCAACAGUCACCUUUGGCCAUUUGAAGGACGGACGUCGGGAGGAUCGAGGCUUUGAAUGCCUCUAGAUACAAAGCUCGGAUAACGUGAAGGCUCCAUCCGGCUUUGAAAUAGGGUGAGAGUGCACCCGAGUCCUCUUCGAUUCCCGUUUUCAGUUUUAGCUUGGGGUGAUGCAGAAAUUGCCUCCCUUAAGCCUUGUCUUGACUCCCUAAGCUUUGGCCUAGUUGGAAGCCUUAAGAGAAGAGCAUGUCUAAGCCUCGAGGGACCCAAAGCAGUAUUAAUGUUAACAUUGGAUAAUCUCUUCCAUCGAUGCGGAAGUUUGUAAAAUUUGAGAAACAGGGUCACUGGCCUCUUGGCGUAAGGUGGCACAAUCAGCUUGCUCGAAGGAAGCGAGUGGGAUUUCUCCAAGCUCGACCCCUAUGGCUAGCGGCCCAUUAUGUAUACUAGGAUUGAGAAAAGCAGGGGGUUCAGCACAUACCUUUGCGACACCACUUUUGUUCAGAAAUUUUAGGUAUUGAUGGAGCAUAGAUGCGACCACGAGGUUUUCAUGCAACAAUAGUCUUCCUAACAGCAGGUUGAAUGAAGUUUUAUGUCCAAGAUAUAAAACUUUAUCAUUUGGACAAUAGGACCGAUCUUGAGUGUGAGAGGCAAUAUGCCUUCAGCUUGUCUCUUGGUCCCGUCGUAUGCGACGAUAAUUUGUUAGCACGGCUCGAAGUCAUCUGGGCAUUUGCCUAUUUGCUUCACCAUUUUCAUAGGGCAUAUGUUGAAGGAUGCCCCAUUAUCAACAAUAACUCUUCGUAUUUCAUAUCCUUGCAUGAAAACAGUGACGUGCAGAGGGUGGACAUGAAAACGGUUGAAGCUACCUAGGAUGUCAUCAUCCAUGAAUACAAUUGGCAUUGGUUCCAUCAAUUGUUUGAUCAUUCCACACAACUCGUCCGGUUGUGUGUUGCUCAGGAUGUGUGUCUUAGCAAGAACCCUUUCGAUCUGGGCUCUGCGUGCGGGCGAGUAACUCCAGGAUGGAGAUUUGAGCCUGGAUCUUUCCGAGAUGAGUCGGUAGAUCGUAGUGGUUGCAGAUCCUUGAGUUUCUUUAUUCGACUCAUGAUCUGCGACCCCAGCUAGUUGUUUGGCUUUCGAGGUGUUUCCCAUUCUUUUAUUGAGAGUGUCAGCCAUCAGUUGAAUGGGUUUGAACACUCAGCUUUUUCAGGUUAAGGAAUCAACCUCGCCAUCCAGAAGCUCGAUAGGGUCGACCCUAGCAAGAGUAAUGGGAGACUUUAGGGUGUUAGCCCCUUGUUUGGAAGAUGGCAUCUUUUCAUUGGUCCUGACCAUAUCGAUUUCUAAUGUAUCACCUUCACCAUAUUGAUCCCAUUUGGGAAGGUUGUCGAGGUUUGGAGAUGAAGGGAUUCCUCUUAGAAGGUCUAAUAUUUUUCGGGUUUUUGGAGGUAAUGAUCACAAGUAAAUAUGAACUGACUUAGAUCAUCUUCUUCAUCUCCACUUUCAACCAUGUGAAUGGCAAUGUUCUCUUUUGCGUUGUCUUGAGCUCCGGGCUUUGUCAGUCGUUGUGACCAUAUUUUUAGGGAGAGGAUAUGUGAAGAUACCCAUCUUUUUAUUAGGUUCUUCAACGGGUUGAUUUCUAGGCGCGACAGUGAUGUUCCCCCUAUUUAUUAACUCUUGAAUCACCCAUUUCAAAUAUAUACAGUUUUGGGUAUCAUGAGCAUGGUUUUGAUGCCAUUUGCACCACUUUCUCUUAUCAGUGACAUGAAACGGUGAUUCAGAUGGUGGCGGGAGGUAAACCAUGUUUCUAGCCAGGAGUAAUUUCAGCACUUUUUCUAGUGGGUCUUUGAGAGGAGUGAAAUUAUCCUCUUGCCUUUGGUUAUUAUUUCAAGUGUUGGCUCUAGGCUAACCCCUUCAGUUUUGGUUCUGAUUGUUGUGCUGAGUGGCUGAACCUUGAGCAGGUCCGUUAACGACAAUUUCAUUAACCUGACCGAAAGUCGUUCCCUUGCUAUUGUUUUUUAUCUUAUUUUGGGGAGUCGUUAUUGGUUUAUUGUCGAGCUUGAUGCUGUGGAUUAUCCCUCUUGCCCGUUCAUGUCGCACCACCCGCUCAAUCAUGGAGUCAAAAGAGUGGGGGAUAAAACCAUGGUUGAAAAAGGUCUUGUAUUCAAGAACGACAUUCUCCAUGGCCAUAGAGAUUUGGCUAGGUCUGUCAGUGGGCAUUCUAUGACCCGAAUUGCCGCCUCACAAAACUUAUGGAUGAAAUCCUCGAAGGAUUCUCCUGGACUUUGCUUUGUUGCUCUGAGCUCGCCCAGGGAUAGAGAUCUUCGUAUCGACCUGCAAUAGUGAGAGACGAAUAGGUUGAACAUUUCGUCUCGAGUGCUGUGUGGUUGAGCGGACAUUGUUCUCCGAUGCCAGUUUAAGGCCUCACCGGUCAGUGUUUGCGAAAAUAUGGCCUUUAGUUGGUUAGGCAUGUCUCGCAAAGCUCUCAUGGAGAGGAGAUACGUGUUGACGUAAGCAUCUGGAUCGCUCUUCCCAUUAAACGUGUUCCUAAAUUCUGGGACAACAAAUCCCAAGGGAAGGUCCUUCAUGCCUCCCAGGGUCUCUUGAACAUAGGACCUUGGGGGUAGAAUUUCAUGCAGGCCCAUUCUUACGAGCAUAGCAUGCAUUGCUUUUAAAGUGCCUUCUUGUUGAGUAUUUGACGUGACAGUAGGCCCACCGGUCGGUGGGUUCCUAAGCGUAGAUUGAUAAGUUGAAUUCUGGGGUCCACGUUGGCCUGCGUGGGGCUGAGGUUGAUGGGUCAUAGUCACCGAGACGGUUUGAUACAUUUGUGCCUGAGGGGCGUAUUGACCCAUUGGUGUCACCACCGGUUGUGGAAAUGGCACAGUUUGUUGUACCGAGUGAACUAAGGGGACCAAUUGAAGAAUCAUCUGACUCAGUUGUGCUAGGGGUUAACCUAUACCACCAAGUUAGUUUGGCAUCAACCCAUGAGCUAGGCCAUGAACAGUAUAACCUAGGUCAACUAGACUUUUAAGGGCAGCAUGGACUCCUAUCUCGCCUAAGGGUUGGUCUAGAUUGACACCUCUGCUUUGUAUAUUAUUAAAAAUAUCAUGAGCUAUACUGUGGUGGCUCGAGGUUGAGUUGGAUCCCCUAGACCUAGGUGGGCCUUGAUUCUGAGGUCGUUGCACCUUGGAGUUAUCUUGGUUCGAGUUGUGGGAAUUGGCAUUAGAGGCUGCAUGAAUUUCUUCCCUCACUCAACUUCUACUUUGGUUACUUAAAAUCCCCUAUACGAGGACACCUGGUUGAACCCCCUGACUAUUCAGAGUCUUUCAGACUGAAUUGGCUUUUCGGAUCACACCGAUUUCAGGAUUAAGAGUGGAUGCUUGGGACUUUGCCUCUAAUUGAAGACCUGGGUGUUGGAUAAUGGAUUGGCUUGAGGUUUGUUGAUAAGUCCAAGGGAUUGUAGUGUACUGGUCCCUAGGUUUAGGCAGGUUGGGCUUAAAGUCAACCAUGGAACGAUCAUCAUAGUCGCCUUGAGUAACCAACAUGAUGACUUUCUUUGGCUGGGUUCUAGAAUCUAGACUUAGGUAUGAUCUAAACUCGUUGACCUAGGGCAGACCUAGCCUGACUUUAGGGCCAAAACCUUAACUAAGACAAAGGCUAAGACUAGCCUAGAACCUAGACUUUCUAGACUCAAUGGGUUUUGGUUCAGACCCUGAACUAGGGUAAGCCUAGUCUAGCUCUACAGGCAACUCUAAGCUUAGACCUAUGCUAGAACCUAGACUAAGAUCUAGACUAGAUGGGUGCAAGUCUCAGCUCGAACCAAUAGUGGGUCUAGGUUUGGCCUGGGUGUGAGCCUGGUUCGGACCUGGACUGAGCUGGGUGCAAGCCUGAGCUUGGACCUAGAGGGUUGUAAAAAUCAGACCGAGAAUGGACCUGGGCUAGGCUAGGUAUAAGCCUGAACGUGGACCUCGAGAAUUUAGCUUGAACCAAAGGCUGGUGGGGGCUGAGAUCUAAGAUGAACAAAACAGUAAUAAGCAAGCAAGCACAUGAAAACAUUAGACCUAAUUAGCUUGAGAGUGGGUUCUAACUAUUGAAAUGUGGCUAGGCUGAUAUAGGUCCCCACAUAGGUCCUGGCCUCCUGUUAUAGGAUGUUCACCAGGUCCUACUAUAUGCAGAAUGCUUUGAGGCAAAGGUUUACAAAGGGGCGCUCACAGUUAAAGUUACACGAAUCCCAACCUCCUUGACUCUCAAAGGUAGGUUCCCUCAUGCCGUUAACACAGAUUUUGAGGGUUUUCAAAACAUUUGUUUGCUGGUUUCCCGGGCACUCCCGGUUCAGUGUGUGCUAGAGUGUGCAAACAAGCACGCAAUUAAAAUAAAUUCAAGCACACAAUGCACCAAAACAAUAAAGGAAAUAAGUGAGCGCUUGGCACUGAUCAUGCCUAGCGAUGCGCGCUUUGAGGAGAAACUCGCUCGAAGUACGGUAUAGACGGAGGGGUAAGCAACCCCUAAAAAGGUAAAGUCAGAACAAUGAGACCAGGCACAGUCAGUGCUAAGUCGAGCGCAGCCCCAGUCGAGGGUGAUUCGAACAGGACACGGUUCAAGGAGGGUGUAAGCAAUCCUCGAUAUUUUUUUUUUAUUUUUAAAAUUUUUUUAUCUUUUUUAACCUUGAUGAAAUACAGUUAAACUAAGCAUGGUGAAAGCAGGGAAAACAUGGUUUCAGUCAAAAUUAACAGACUAAAAUGAAAUAAAUAAAGUUAGAAGCAACACAGACCUCUUUGAAGCAAAAUAUUUUUUUUAUAUUUUUAAAAAAUUUAUUUUAAGUCAAAAUUUGGUCAACAGAGAGCCAAAAGUCCCUGGAAUAGGCUAUGGGUGUCCCAGAAGUUUUUUGAGGCACUUGCAAUUAGGCAACACUAGUGGUGGCGCCCGGGCGGCACUGCUGGUGUUGCCCUUGUAGAGUGGACGACACUACUAGUGUCACGCAAAAAAUUAUUUUUUUAUAUUUUUUUCUUGUCAAAAUGGAUGAAGCAAGAAAAAAUAUAUAUUUAAAAUGAAAUAAAUUAAAACAGAUUAAAGUAUAACAGUUAAGAUGGAACAAUAAAAUAUUUUUUUGGUAUUUUCUAAAAAAUUAUUUUGCUUUGAAAUAUUUUGAGCACUGACAAGAGAGUCCCAUGACCCAGACUACAAAAUUUCAAAAACAAUCUGACUUGGGUAAGGCGUGUCGCUCUGGACCUGGGCGGCACGGCCCGUAUUGCCUGGGCAGCACGCGCUGUCACCUGAGCGGCAUGCCUCAUGUCGCCUGAGUGGCACGCCUAGUUUCACACAAGGCAAACAGGGUUUCAGAGCACCGAAACCUUGGGUCCUUGUCAUAGCCAGGGUUUUGGACCCUUUUUUUUACUGAAAACAGUGAAAAGUAGUGAACAAAAAUCGUAUUUUGAGGCUUGGAUCAAGCUCGAAAUGCACCACGGUGGGCGCCAAACUGUUUACAAUGCAAAAUGUGACAGAUCUGGGAAUAAAGAUCUCUCGGAUUUGACACCGUUAAAUUAUGAAAAUGAAGGAAAUGCAGUGGUAAAGAAAGUGAGACAAACCAAAUUCAGGCCAUAUCUACCCGGAAGUGAGCAUAUGUGCUCUCAGAUCUGUGGCAGGGCCAGCAUGAUCCAAAAAUAUCCAAAAUACGAUUUUUAAGCAAAUUAACCAAAACAGAGCAAAAUAAAAUUAAAAUAACGAAAUAAGAAUAAAAAAGAAGGAAAAAAGUGAUACCGAACCGGGCUAGAUGGUUCGGGAUGCCCGAGCCUUUUGGGGGCCCCCCCGUAUCAAAACCGGUCCUCUUUUGUCUCUUUGAUCCGGAUAUUAGCCAGCAAGUCUCUUUAGUAUAGGAUGGUUGUACCCUAUAGAUGGUUCCAGGCUCUCUCAAGUUUUAGGCUUGAACUUCCAGGAGGCUAGCUCUAAGGUUUCUCAUCUCUCUGAAGCUCUAGGGUUUCCAUCUCUAUCUCUCUAGGUUUUUCUCUCUCUAUCUCCAAUUGCAUUCUUCAUCCCCCUUCCAAUGACCACGAAAGAAGGAUAUGCAUGCAUAACCAACAAAUCCCUUGGUCAAAGAUGCACAUUUUGAGGGUCAUGGAUUUAAGCGGCACGGGUCGUGUGACCAGGGCGACAUGGGGCGUGCUGCCCAAGUAGAUUAAAAAAGUCAAAAUUCAAUUUGGGGCUGGUUGGAACUGGCGGCACUGGGUGUGUCAUUUGGGCGGCAUGGGUCGAAUGGCAUGGGCAGCACACCCUAUGUGGCCUGGGCGGCAUGCCCCGUAUCUCACAUACCAAUUCUAGUCCAAAUUGAGAUUUUUUCACUUUUGUGUGUUCUUCAGCCUCUUGUGAAGCUCUCAAAGAAAAUUUGGGUCAAAACAUAUUUUUGUACUAUUUUUAAUGAUUUGUUUUGUAAACAGGAUGUUUACAGAAAUCUAGGUCAAAACAGGGUUUCUACAUGGUUUCGGGUAGCCGUGACGGUUGCCAGUGUUUAUUUGCAUGAAAAAUAUAUAGGAAUGGACAUAGUAGGUCCCUUACGGUGUUUUAAGCCACGCUGUCUGAAAAAUUGGAUGGCACCAAGCCUCUGGACGAAAUCACUGUUCAUUUUCGCCCAUAGGCGUUGCGUAGGGGCUUUAUAUAUAUAUACACACAUAUACUUUAUAAUGAUCGAGCUAAUAUAUUAUUCCAGUUAGACAGUAGAAGUGAGAAUCCAAGGUCACAAAUUUGAUUCCUCCUCUUUUUCUUAAGGCUUAAAAGAAAAUAUCAUAUAAGUUUUUCUAUUAAAAAAGGGGAGACAAUUGUAUAAGAUAUCAAAUUCAAACAAAUAAAGUAAGGUGCACCUCUAAACUAUAUUGAAAGAUAAUAUUGCAAUACUUAGAAAGUUUUGCAAUGACAUUAUUCGGGGCUGAUUUUUGGAUAUCCGAAUCUCAGAUAAAGCACAAGGAAUCAAAAGAUUGGAUUAACUUUAAUAUAUAAAUCAAAGAGUCCUCAAGCGUAUGGUCAAUCAGUAUGUUAUCUGUAGAGAUACCUCAAACCAAUAAUAUAAGCGAGACUUGCCCUACAAGUCCUCAUAUGCCUUGAAAGUUUUGCAAUUAGCCGUCAUAUAUCUUAACUAUCGGACAUACUCAGGAAUUGUCACAAAUGUCAUUAUAAGACCAGACUGUGGAAUCAAUGAUCCCAAUGCCAAUAUAUGUCGUUUUGCUCUAUUUAAGGGAAGUUUAGAUAUAAGUUGACAAGAUGUGAGGAAUUCCAUUCGUUAAAGGGGUUGGAACAGUCAAAUAUACCCAAAGACUAUCACAAAUCUGAUUUUGAGACUACGAAGGGAUCAAUGAUCCUAUGGAAAAUAUAUGCAUGCCCACAUUAUUAAAGGGUAAUUUGCAUAUAAAUUGACUAGUUUUGGGUCUUCAAAGGUGAACUAUGCAAACCUCACAAAAUCACAUUAAAUCGAGGUGAAAUUUGCAUAUGAUGAUUGUUAGUCAUUAUCUGUCUUCAGUCCGAUAUUCAUAAAGAAUGAACAUCAUUUAAUAGGUCUUCUGAUCCAUCAUAUGUUAAACAAGUUUAAUUGACAAGCCUAUCCACAAUGACAGGGAAGUGUCUUGAAAUAUUUGGUGAAAAUCUGUUUGAUGUUCAAUAACCCCUAUCUCAAGAUUUCAAACAUAUUGGAAGGAGAUCUAGUCCUAUAUCACACUCCUCGGAAGUAAGCUCCUAUGGACACUAUUCAUUAAAGUGCUAAACAGAAGCCGCAAUGAUAUCUAAUAGAUAAAAAUGUCAAAAAACCUAAUAAUAAAAAGUCUUUUUAUGAGACCAAAGCCCUUGGAAUCUUGAUUCAAAGCUUUAUUAUCUUUGUGAAAGUCAGAUCGUAAGAAUUCUCUAUGUGAAAGCACUCCGAACCGUAUCAGAUGUCAUCUCUUGUGAUAGGUUUUAACCGAUGAAAUACUCGUAUCUCCUAAAUUACUAGGAUUUUUCUUGUCAAAUUUGGCAAAGAUGUUCAUCAUGAAGAGCCUCACAACAUAUUUAAAUUUCAUGAUAAAAUAUUAUAAGGGCGUAUUAAUUUUGUCAUCUACUGAUUUCUGCUCAGAAUGGUGGCAGAGAUGCUGAAACUUCAAGGAGGCAUAUAUCUGUCAGUGCUUAUCAAAAUUGAGUGAGACUUGAUCUAUUUGGUUCAUCUCUGAUUUCUUUAUCAGCUUGCAAAAUUUCAUGGAAAAAGGCUUCUUCAUCAAAAAAUUAUGCUCGUCGAAUUGAAGCAUGUUUAGAUGUUCUAACAGUUUUACAAUUGAAGACCAAAUAUAAUUGAUCUCCUAUGUUUUCUCAUGGUUCAAACUAGUUCAUAUGAGUUUGUUUUAGUUCAAAUCCGAAAUCAAAUAAGUAAAAAAAUAUCCAAAGUAACUGCUUUGAAGGAGAUUUAGAAAUCAAAGAGCUCAAAAUUGUCUCUUACAACCAUCACAAGAUAGAAGAUGUUGAAAACUGUUGAUUUUGGAUAAACGCAAAGGAAGUGCAAGUCUAUCCAUCGGGAACAACUCUCACACUCUAUUUAACCAUUCUCUCAUGCACUUACAAGAGGGGAUUUGGAUAGCAUUAAGAGUGUUUUUAAUAACUUUUCGGAUUCUCCUUGCUGCUAACUUUACUAGAUUCUGGGAAGUAGAUGAAAAUUGGUAGCUUGAAAGCUGGGGACCAUGUUUGAUAAAUUGUGGUAUUAGUAUUUCACCUGAUUGGCAUUGGCAAAGCUCAAACGGAUGAAAACUACAAUAUAGGAGAAAAUGUGAGACUUUCUCCUGUUUUUUCCGUUAUCAAAUGCCCCUAACGUCUAACACCCUUAAGAAAGGGAUAGAGAGACAUCUCAUACUUCACUUAUUUCCUGCACGUUUCUUGCAGACAGAAAGGUGACUCUAAGCACAAUUUCGAUUUCAGAGUUGUGCGAACAUAGAGAGAACAAACAUGAGACGUCCUCACUUACUUGCUACAAGACUCAGAGAAGACCACAAGUGAAGGAAGGUGCCCUUAUAAUACUAGUGCACAUGCAUAUGCACCCAGCCAUUGCCAAGUCUUUUUUCCCUUUCUUUUAUAUCUUCUUUCUUUUGAGUAUGUAGUCUCUUCAAGGCCCAAAUGAAAGGUGCCUAAAUCUAUAUUUUCUUGGGUAAAUUGUAACAGGGAUUUAAAUUCCCUGGAGUUCCUCAUGAACCCAUUGAUUGUAAAAAUCCAUCAUUUCUUUUAAGUAUGUACGUGGUUGUUCUUUGAUGUGAGCAUUUCCCUUGAUUUUCUCAUUUUGCUGAAGUCAUGUUCGUAGAAAAAAGGUCUUUAUUUUUUGCACAUUUUGGAGAUGUAUUGUCAUCCCUAAUUAUAAAAUUUAAAGCUCCAAUAAUGAUGCAGAUUGAGCAAAUUUAUAAAUAAUUAACAUUUUAAAAAAUGGACAAUCCAAAUAAUGUGUCACAGAUUUGUCUAAUAUUAAUGUGUCACAAUCUUAUGUGUCAGAGUAUAUGACUGCCAUAUGGAAUUGUCUCUAUCACAUCUAAUUUAUUAAUUCUCAUUAAUUAAAAUCUAAAUUUAUUCUGAUUUUAUUAUCACUAAAACAAAUUAGAAAGUGCUAAUCUAAUAUUAAGCAUCAAUAUCGGCCAUGUCCUCUCUUUGAUUACCCCUUGCUCUCUCUAAAACAUUGAGUAAUUGUCCUCCAUAUCUCCUUCCAUAAUUUGAAAGCAUUAAUCUAAUAUUAAGCAUCAAUAUCGGAUAUUUCCUCUCUUUGAUUACCCCUUGCUCUCUCUAAAACAUUGAGUAAUUGUUGUGACUACUCAUCCGUCUCAUACAACUCUAAUAGGAGCUUCAUCUUUGUGUUUCUAUUAUUUUGUGUGUGUUGUUUUUUUUUUUUUUUUUUUGGAGGUAAUUGAGUGAGUGGGGAAGACAGGCCACUACCCAUUAUUUCAGAUUAGAGAGUUUGUUUGUUUGAAGGUGUCAUCAUUAGGAUUCAAAACCAUAUCAUGAUAACUAGGUAUGGGGUGCUAUCGUCGAGACCCAGCCCCUUUCCUAUUAUUAUUAUUUUAUAUGUUGCCUUCAGGUAGGUGCACAAACCUCUCUUCGUCUCAUUUUCUCUCUCUCUAAAUACCACCGGGUAAUAUCUCAAUGCCACCAACAAUUCAAUUGCCUAGAAAAACACCACUCCUCUCCACUUAGUUUUUUUUUUUCUGUUCUUUUCAAGAGAGGCCCUUCAGGUUUCUUCAGCGCUUCUAAAUCUCUAAGAUAAGGAGAUCUAUUGUCAUCCUUUAUGUUCACCUUACAUUAUUGAAUGCUUUAGUUUGAUGAAAAAUAUAGAGGAAAUAGUUAAUUUCACGACAUUCAUAUGCAAUAUGCAUAUGAUACACUCAUUUUCUAUAGGGCAAAUUUAGCACUAGUAAAUAAUAUUGUCACAUUUUUUAAUUGUUGUGAAGUGGCUCUUGGGCUGAAAGUUAAUUUGAAUAAGACAUCUAUGGUUGAGAUUGUAAUAAAAGAGUUAGCAAAAGCUAUAUGGGUAUAGGGUAGAUCACUUCCCUCUUACUUAUCUGAGAUUGCCUAUCUCAUAUAAGAGAUUAUCUUGUUCAGUUUGGGAUAAGGUUCUUCAAAGGAUUCAAGUGAAGUUGGAUCUUCGGAAACCUAAAUACUCGUCUUUGAGGGAAGAGCUACUUGCCUUCAAUCAUGUUUCGCUAAUCUCCCCAUUUAUCAGAUGUCAAUCAUUCAAUUGCCCACAUUAAUUGUUAAAAAAAUUGAAAGGAUAAUGCGGAAUUUCUUGUGGGGUACUUUUGGGGACGAAAGAAAAUAUUAUAUUCUAAGAUGGGAUAGGUUGUACUCCAAAAAGAAAAUAUGGUUUAGGUAUUAAAAAAAUAAAAUUGGUAAACCGAGCUCUUCUUUGUAAAUAGUGGUGGUGAAAUCUCCUUUUUAAAGAUCAGCUGUGGUAUAAAGUUCUGGCAGCAAAAUAUAGUAUUGAAAGACAAGGAAUGUGGCUAGGGCCUAGCCGGGGCAAUAACCAAUCCAUUUUUUGGAAACCUAUUGCUCUUUGUAAACCUCUGAUCGCAAGGAAUGUAAGAUGGAUCAUCAGUAAGGGGGAUUAGAUUGCCUUUUGACACCAUAAGUGAGUUUGGAACUAUUCUCUGAAGCUAAUGUUUCCAUAAAUUUUGAGAAAGUGAUAGACCCAAAUUAGGUGUCUGAGGUUUUUGAAGGUAUAGGCAAUCAAGUCAUUUGAGUGUGAAUUUUCCUUACAAUAGGCUUUGUGAUGCUCUUAUUUUGUAGUUAAGCUCUUGGCUGGAUAUUUUGCACAAAGUGUAUAUCCCACAUAAUUCGGAAUAUGAGAUCAUAUGGAAGUAUGAAAGUGAUAAGGUUUUUUCUGUGAAGUCCUGCUACAAGUUGUUAUUCCAUGAUAGAUGGCGAUCGACCUUGCUACAAGUAGCCCAAAUUUGGAAAUGGCUAGUACCUCAUAAAGUUCAAGUUUUUAUAUGGUUGGCUGCCCAAGAUAAGAUCUUUGCCAUUGAUAACUUGAUUAAAAGGGAGAAAAUUUUGCCAACUAUUUAUGUGAUGUACAAGGAAGAUGCAAGUCUUGUGCCUAUUCGUUUUUACACUGCCAUUUUGCUAUUAGGAUUUGGUCUUGGUUUUUCUUACUUUUGGAAAUUAAAAUGCAUUCGCCUCAAAUGUGGGAGAUUUAAAAGGAGCGAAAUAAAAAGGGAGAGCCUUCCUUCUGAUUGGGUUAUUAAUAAAAUAAAACACUCCUUAUGGUAUUGGUCGGCAGCCUCAAAGGAGGGAAAGGCUAUUAUUGAGGUGGAUGUGAUGUUUAAUCUCCAAAAUUUAUUGACCAUGGGAGUGGUCAGUAGCAAGCCAAGGAGUUUUUGGACUCCACCUCCACAAGGGAUGCUAAAACUAAAUUUUAAUGGUAACCCAUUUGGAAAUCCAGGUUUGGCUGGUUUCGGAAGCAUUGUUCAUGAUUGGAAUGGUCAAAUUGUAUUCACAUGUGUUGGGCCCUUAGGUGUUAGGUGAAACAAUUGCAAAUGUUUGCCAUUGUUCAUGGUCUAAAGAUUUUUUGUAACAAAAAUUAGAACAACCAUUGCGUGAUAGAAGGGGACUCUUUGGAUGCUACUAGGUGGUCCAACAAAGAGCAAAAGGUUCAUUGGGAGCUUAAAUCAAUUUGGCUACAUACUCUUGACUUGGUAGAAAAUUUGACUGUCUUUCUGGCAUAUUUUUAGGGAAGCUAACUAUUUAGUGGAUGUUUUAGAUAAAAGGGAAGAUGUUUUAGAUAAAAGGAGAGCUUCUUUGCUUUCGUUUACUAGUUUUGACCAUGUAAUCCCAUUUAGGUAACUUUCUUUAUUUCAAUAAACAAAGAUAUUGAGCGAGAGAGAGAGAGAGGGCAGAUUAUUUUCAUUGGGUUUUUUAUUUGCUUUAUUUUUUUCUUAUUUAAAAGAGAAAUGUCCCUUCAUGGUAAAAAAAUCAGAGAAUAAGAACAAAGUAAAUUUGAUUGUGUAAAAAAAUCGUUUUGGUGUGGAUUCCUUUGCAAAUCUUAAGAGUGUCUAUUCUCUCAACUCUUUUUUUUUUUGGUUUUUAUUAUUCUCAUUUUAUUUUCUCCCCACAACAUUAAUUUAAUUAAUAUUUGUAUUGAAUAAUUUUUAAGCAUUUGAUAAAACACUCAUGUUUAUCUUUAGAUUUAUUACUUUAAUGUUUUUGUUAACUAUAGAGUAUUUCAACAAACAUGCAAAUCUCACCAAGUUCGUGGAAAUCUAUGCUUUGAUUUUAUAUUGUAAAUUCCUACCAUGUAUUUUGUAAAGGUUGCAACCUGCACCACUGUUUGGGCUAGAACCUUGCUCCAGCUGAAUAACAAACCCUUUAGUAAGGUGAAAAGAAGAGUGAUCUCGUAUUAUCAAAUGAUGGUAUUUUCCUUUCAAUACUUUACCAUUAAUUUUUUAUAAUGUUUUUAUAAAUUAGUUUUUUAAGUCAAUUAUUUAUGAACUAAUUAUUCUCCUUGAAGUAAGAAUUAAAUCCACUUUCUUUGGAUGAUAGGUAAUGCUAAUCUAAGUGGACCGCAAGGCAUGCUAGCAUUGUAUUUUUAAAUAUCGGUAUUUUUUCUAAUACUUUGCUAUAAAUUUUUUAUUAUGAACUAUCUAAAUUUUCAAAUUCAUUUUGAUAGAACUUUUAAUUAAUAAUUCUGGCAUUAAAAAAGCGACUCCUUUUAAAGGUUUAGUUAGCAAUUUGUAAUUCCUAAUAUGAUUAUAUCAUUUUGUAUGUUAUAUUCUUUUUAAACAUUAUGCAUUCCGAGACUUUUGAAUAACUAUUAUUUUCAAUUGUAUAUUUUCAUUAUUCAUAAUUAACUUUUUUAUGUUCUCCACUUCUCUAGAAUAUCUUGUAAUUUUUUAAAAAAAAAUUUGCCUUUUCAUAAUUUAUUUAAAUUAAAUAAUCUAAUUAUUAAAUUUUGUAUUUUAGAAAUCAUUUAUGGCUAUCAUUUAAUUUUAUUAAUGAGUCGGAUUAAUAUGAUCUAAAUUACUUUAUGGGUGCAAUUUAUAUAAAUCCGAGGCAAUAUAGUGUUGAGAAAAGUGGUUCCAAUAUUAGAAAUUUUUUACCAACCUUAAAAUAUAUUUUUUAUACUUGAUUAUAAAAUUUAAAGCUAGAUAAGACAGAUCUAUGGAAGCUUGACUAACUUAAAAUUGACUAACUUUAAAAUUGACUGUCCAAAAAUGCAUUACAAGAUACAUUAUUUCCAAAAGUUGUAAUCUAUUUUUUUCUCAAAUCCAUGCAUCUUAAUGUCGAGAUUAUCAAUUUGAGGAUAUUUGGGCAACAAAACCACCUCUCUAGUGAAAUUUUUGAGGUACACUCUAAUUUGAUUGUGUAGAAACAAGGCCCUAUAUAAACUUUUCUUAUAUUCACACUUUAUAACAUUGUCAUAUCUAUAUAAUUUAUUAAAUUUUAUUGUUAUGUUUGAGCUAACAUAAAAAUUAAUUAACAUAUUGUUUUGGUUUGUUUUAAACCUUGAGAAAAAGGCAAAUCAAAUACGUGCCCUUGUACUCUCAAUUUUAUGUUCUUAAGGUUUAAAACAAACUAUCAUACAAGUUUUUUUAUUUAAAAAGGGGAGAGAGUUAUUAUAUAAGACAACUUUAAACAAUUAAAGAAAGGUGCAACUUUAUAACAUCAUGAAAGAUGCAAUUUCAAUACCAAAAAUCUUUGCAAUUACAUGAAAACCUAUUGUUAACUUUCUUUUAUAAAACUUAAAGCUUAAAAAUUUAUUAUCCUCCCUUUUUAUAAAAUUUAAAGCUCCAAAAAUGCUAUAGAUCAAGCAAAUAUAUAAACAAUCCAUAAAAUAUAUCACAAUGUACUAAUUUCAAAACUUAAAUUUCUUUUUUCUUCUAUAUCCAUAUCUCGACCUUAUAUCUCCACCUUAAGAUGUACUACUUUCGUGACUUGAAAUCUUACACUUUUCUUCCAUACAAAAACAAAGGAAAAGACAACCAAAAAUCCAGAUUAACUUGAGGGUGUUCCAGCAUUAUAACACACUCAGGGUUUUGAAUUAGCGUGGGUGCGUCUUACUUAACUCUAUAAGGUUGACACUUUUUUUUCCUUUGAAAAAACUCGUUGUGGGGUUAACCAAACAUCAAGUGGGAUUCAGGCGCACUAACCACUAGAGAGCCCAAGAACAGAAUCAUUUCUGGGGCAAUCCCAAUCUGGAUCAAUAUGAAUAACAAAAAAUCAAUUAAAAAUACAUAAAAAUCAAUUAAAAAUAUAUAUAAACCACUAAAUGAACUUCAUUUCAGAUAGAAGAAAAGUGAUCAAUGGACGUGAGUAAAAAAGAUAAAAAAGAGAAGAGAACCGCUGACCGUUUGAUCUAAAACCAACUCAGUAUUUAUUUUAAUUCUUUCCACAAAUCAUAUGAAUAUGAACCACUGAUUAUUUGAUCUAAAUCCGACAUGAGUACUUUAUUUUAAUUUUUUCUACAAAUCAUAUGAAUAUGAAAUUUGAUAAGAAGAUCUAAAGAAAUAUUAAAAUUUAUUUUUGAUAAAAAUACGACCAAAAUACCCCUAAAACUUUUAUGGGAAUUAUGAACAUUUUUUUUUAUUGGGUUUUUUUUUUUUAAUACGAGAGUUUAAGAGGACCAAAAUUUAGUGUCUCGCAGAAAAAAAUUAAAAAUAAAAUAGUGUAGAGGCAGAAAUAUAGAAAAGCCUGCCCAAAAAAUAAAUGUCUGCCCUAAGCUCUUAGAGGUCCUCCAAGAGAAAACUAUAACAACCAAGUCAAUGUGAAUUAACAUAAAAUAAAAAUAACAAAAAAACUCACAAGAGAAAGAUAGAAUAACAGCACAGACAAGCCAUCAAAAACCAUCAAAAGGAGUGCAACCAACCAGACAUUUUGAUACAUAGAGAAAGAGAGAGGGGGGGAGGCUGUUUCUCUCUUCAGAAGAGAGAGGAAGGCUCAGCAGGGUUGAGCGGAUGAAUGAGGUAAGUGAGGACCAAGGCCACCAACAUCAGCACGUAAGCAAUCCCCUGAUCAAUUGUUGUCCCUAUAAAACAUCAAUCCACAUGUCAAUCUACAUUAUUAUUACAAACUACUUCAAGAUUAGAUAUUGCUGCAAUUCAAAAACAAAAACAAAAACAAAAAAAUCCCAUUCCGUUAAAACAAAGGAAAAGACAACCAAUUACCUCAAGAUAUAGGGCUCAGAAUCAAGGGAAGGAUAGUCCAUAAAGAAAUUUUGCAAAACAAAGAAAACAAAAAGAGAAAAAGCACACAAUGGGGACAAGGGAAUGACAAAUAAUGUAUCAAAUCUCCAAAUGGAUGGUGGUGAUAAACUUUCGACCCUCUAGUACACUAUUCAAAUGGAUGGUUCAAGCGUAGCCAUCCUUGUAAAACUACAUGCCCAGAUUAUUGUUAGCAAAAUUGCUCGAUCUAACUGCUAACCACCCAGUUAGAUCGAAACCGGACAGUGGCCGGUUUAGGGUCAUCAACCGGUAUUUUAAAAAAAUAUUCAAAAAAAUGUAUAUAAGUUCUAAAACUUAAGGAAUUUGAUUUGUAAUAUAUUUUUAAAUAUAAAAUGGGUUAAAAUUCAUUUUUUUCGUCAAUUUUCAACUUCAUUUGAAUGUUUUUUGUUUUAGUCAUUUUUUAUAUGCUUCUUAUAUUUUAGUAGAUUUUUUUGUAUUUAUUUAUUUAUUUUUUACCGCCCCUUGCUCCGAUUAGAGCGGUUGAAUCGGCCGCAUAAACCGAGGCCCAUGUCCGGUUAACCUGUUCGAUUUUGCAGCCAGAUUAUACAAAAAAAGAAAUAAACAAAGAUCUCUCCAGUCCAAUGUUAAAUAUGAAAUAGGAAAAAAAAUAUAAAACAGAAAAUGCAGCAGGCUAAAACAAUAAUGUAAAUAUAUUGGAGUUAGAGACAUACGAAUAAUCUUUUAAAAUUUCUCAAAAGUAAAAAAUAAUCUUUUAAAAGCAAUAGAGAAGGAAGAAUGGGCAAGAAAAGCGACAAUUAAUGCAGGUGGGCCUUAGAAAAUAAAGCAACACAUCAACAAUUUUUUCCAUUAAUAUCGUUUUCAAUGAAAAGGAAAUCUCAUUUACAAACCAAAUCAAUGAUAACAUUGCAGACACAUGUGAAACAUAAUCUUGCACUACUGAUGGGCAAAGCCGAAAAAGAAAAACAGAGAUCAAAUAAAAAACACAGGAAAAUACCACAUGUAAUCACGACAAAGAGAAGAGUUGCUUCCGAUGAAACCAGAAGAGCAUAAGAUGUAACGGCAUUUAAAGAAAAUACCAGAUCCGGAUCCUAGAAACCACAUUCCACCCCAAAAAAAAAAAUAGAAAAAACCGUGAGCAGUAAACCACAUUCCCAUCAAGAAAACCUAAAAAAAAAAGAAAAUCACUGAUCAGAAAGAGAGAGAGAGAGANNNNNNNNNNNNNNNNNNNNNNNNNNNNNNNNNNNNNNNNNNNNNNNNNNNNNNNNNNNNNNNNNNNNNNGAGAGAGAGAGAGAGAGGAACGAAAGAAUGAAUAUGAGGCCGUGAAGAAAGCCUCUGCUCUUUGCAAAAGGCUCUCCACACGCCACAGGGAAGAAAAGGAGAAGACCUCUCUCUCUCUAAUAAAGAAAAAAAGGCCUCCUAGGGUUUCUUUAAUUUCUUAUUAGAAAGGAACAGAGGAAGAGAGAGAGAGUUCUGAAAACAAAAGCCUGUUUCAAUGAAAACAACUUCAUUAUACUGGUAUAUAUAUGAUGAGCGAAAC